GGGCGGGACAGGUACAAUGAAUUUCAAAGAUAAUUAUAUUCCCCCAUCAUAGUUUUCAUUUUCAAUAAUUUUAUUACAUCUUCAUCUCUCCGUCAAACAGGUCCAAAACUUGUCGAGGACUGUUGUAUGCGAAACAGGAGAACCACUGAAUCAACCUACUAAUUAUCCCACUGCCUCCAUUCUUAUAAUACCGAUGGUCUUGGAUCGAUGCACGAUAUACUCCUAUAUUGUACCAUAUACAAAAUAUUAGAGCUUUAUUUUAUCUGAAAUGACUAGUUAUUAUUUAAAGCGAAAAUAUUGGCUGGUGAUUAUGGGCAGGGGACAAGAAGGUUAAAAAGAGCUACAGUAAUCCCGCUAAGUUUGAUUCCACACAUUCUAUAAUCUGGCAAUCUUCUGAACAAAAAGCAUUUUCCUCUUCUCAUUCAUAACUCCGUACAUGUGACAGUUGAAAAACAUGAAGGUUGGACAAUGCGAUCCCAAUUGUAUCUAGAAAUUUGCAUUACACGUAUAAAAAUGUCUCGCUCUAGCAAUCAUUGGUGCUAAAAUCUAUUGCAAGUUCGUCAACUUAAUUCAAAACUUCUGCAGCUGUUACAAUGUUCCCUUUACUCAACCCCCCCCCCCCCUUGUUUCUUCUCGAAAAAAAAAAAUCCUCUGGCGAUGUUGGUAGAGCUGCAGAAGACGAGAUCAAAAUUCAAGGCUGUAAGGGUAUAAAUUUGACCCAAAAAGACUGAAUCAUAUACUCAUUGUAAACAUGAAGCCAUAUUGAUAAUUUCCUAAUCUGCUAUAUUGCUGGUUUAUGAGAACCAAGUUCUCCUCAAUCUUCACAAGAGCUAAGACUAAUUUUCUCAAGCUGCAUAGCCCAAUCUUCUCCAAGUACCUGCGGAUUCAGUUCCAUUGCAGCUCGAAAGUCCAACACGGAUGCAUAAAAAGAUUUUGCUGAUUCUUGCAUGAGAUGUCGAGGUAAAAUUCCAGACCUUAACCCAGCCAAUCUUACACAGGCCUCAAUCAAUCUUUUCACGUACGCAUCCAAGCCAUUAUUCAGUAGGUUAACACAAUCCACAGAAAUAUUAAUUCCCUCCAUCUCCAACUUCUUCUGCAAACGACUUCUUAGUGAUCUUGUAUCAGGUAGCUCACCUUUAUUUUGACAGCUCUCUAAGUGGUAAUUACUGCAUGAGAAAGCAUUAGAAAGAGAUUUGCGAGAUCCACCAAAAUUUAUGGAGAAACCAAGAGGAGCAGUAACUGGACUUUUACUCUGAACACCUGGGCUUCCAGCCACCUGCUCAACCUCUUCCCCGUCUUCCACAGAUGCAACUUCAGCAGGAGGUCUGCUCCCAAGUGAAAGCAAUUCAGUUGCACUCUGCUCUUGUGCCUUGGAAACUGACUCUUCGUGUACAACAUUUUGUGGCUUUCCAAGUGGCCCUAGUGGACUAGGGCGGUCCCGAAACUUUUUAUCCCAAUUGACAGGAGACCUACCUUUGCGAGGCGAAGGAGGAAAUGCAUCCCCAUAAAGUGACUGAAGACGAUUACGAUGAUAACCAUUUCCAACUUGAUGGUUACUUCCUACUUUCCUAAUAGUUUUUAAUGGUGGAACUCUAGAGAUGCAGGCAUUCUUGAUAAUGGAUCUAAUAAGCCGGUUGUGAAGUCGGAUAUUUUCCUUCCCGAUGGUCUUAAUGCAAGACUUAUCAAAUUCACACUUGCUAAUCUUCAAACUAAACAACCUUCUUAGCUGAUCAAAGUACUUCUCUGCUCUUUGAUGUCCAACCUUUCUUACAAUAAGAGCCUUUAGCUCUAAGGUGUCGUCACGAGCAUAAUCUUGAUUGAGCAUCAUCUUCCACUCCAAUUUCCUCAAUUUCACUCAAGAAAAUACCAGCAUCCAAAGACAAAUGCUAAAACAAAUUUUUAUAUGUCAUCAAAAUCUCAACUUCCAAUCAAACCCAGAUGGCAAAUCACAGCUCCUCGAUAAAAAACCUAAAACCCUGAUCCCGAAACCCUAUUUCCACCUGCAAAUUAAUCAUAAUUCAAUCCAUAGAAAAUCACAAAAUUACACAUUUACAACAUUCUUAGAAAAAAAACAACAAAAUCCAAUCAGAAAUUUAGCUCAAAUAGGUGAAAGAAGAUUUCUAUUUAAUUGAUUAAUGCUAAUAGUUACUAAGUAAAACCAAUACAAACUAUUAAAAGAUAAAAAACGGGUAAAUUUUGGUGAAAUUAAAGAAUUACGGAGACAAAUUAUCAGAGAAAGCAAUCAAACAAAUUCGAAAGAUUUAAGCACUGAUAAUAAGAAAUAAUUCAUACCCAUUUGAGAUUUCGAUAAGAAUCAAAAACCCAAAAGGCGAAUUGAGAAUUGAAUAGAGGUUGAGUGAGAUACGUACCAAACUCGGUCCAUGCCCGUUUUCUGUUUGGCUAUGAACCCUGUGUUUUUUUUUAUUUUUAUUUCGCUUUUCUCCCUUUUCUUGUACAGUUGUUUGGUGAUCGGUUCUUUGUCUGUUAUUUUUCUUUGUUACGCUAUACGUGUGAACCGGGAAAAACCAAACAUUAACAUAUGAAGGCCGAAAAUUCUUGGGACAAGAAACUCACGUGCUCCUUUUCACGUUCGUGAUGUGAGACUUGUUAGGGACUGUUCAUUUGCGCCGUCUUAUGGUUGCUUCAGCUGUCUUUAUCUCGUAUUCUUUAACAGAAAAUUGAGUUGCUUGCUUCAUUUAUUUGGCCUUUUUUGGGACAUAAUGUUACGAAUCUUUACUUUAUAAUACGAACAAUCUCAUCUAAGUUUCUUCACGAAAGUUUCUUUAUUUGGAAACUAUUUUAGAUUUUUUUUUUGAAAUUUUUUUGUAUUCUAUAAUUAUUUUAAAUUAUAAUUAAUUUAAAAUAAAAUCGAAUCGAAUUUUAUAAAAAAAAUAAUUUUUUUUAAUUUUAAUUUUUUAUUUUUAAAAUUUAAAAUUAAAAUUUUACUUAAAAAAAAUCGAAUUCUUUAUUAUUUGAACCUAGGUAAUUAUUUUAAAUGUUUUAAGGUGAUACCAAGUGGGACGGCAAAAUGGACGGAUUGGACCCGCCUGGCAUGACCUAGUAUCGGCCACAAUGAAGAGCAGCUCUUGCAGGUCCAACCCACUCAUGUUAUGGACCAUGUCUUGAACGGUUAAGAUUUUUUGAGGAAUAAGUCCAACGCGUUCCGUGGUCCAAAUCUAUUAUGGGUUGUGUGGAGUUGACCUGACACGAAGUGGAUUGGGUUGGGCAAUGAUCGGCUUGACCUAAUUUUUUUACACAUAAUCCUUUCCUCAAUUGUUGGAUCUUUUUAUAGAUUUACUAUUUUAAUGCAGUAAUCAUGAGAAAAUAGUAAAAAGAUUAAAAUUUUAAAUAGGUGGUUUGGUUUAAUUAAAAAGUAGUGUCAUAUCCUUUUUUUUCAAAGAAUUAAUUUGAGAAGUACCCAAACAGCGCCUUACGAGUUAAGACCCAACUUCCUCUUUCUCCCGCCUUUGUCUGUGUCACUCAAGAAAGAAGCCUGAAAAUUCAAAACCAAUCCAAGCUUUGUUCCAAACCAUUGAAAGAUUCCACAACCCCAAAUACAAAUCAGUAGGGUUUGAAUAUCAUACUUCACUUAGGGUUAUAAAUGAAUAGAACUUUUGACAAAUUAUUCAUAAAUAUAUUUAAUUUUUAUUCGUUUAUAUUUAUUUAUUAAAUUUAACAAAUAAUUUUAAAUAUUAUUUAUAUAUUUGUUUAUUAAACGAACCCAAUACAAAUAAUUAUUUAUUCAUUCAUUUAUAUACAUGAAUAAACUUAUUUACUAUUUAUUUAAAAUUUUUUAUUUACUGUUUAUUUAUUGUUCAUUUAUAAUAAUACUAAUAAAAUUAUAUUUUUAUAAUUUACAUUAAUCUUACUUUAAGAUUCAUUUAUAUUUGUUUGAGUUUAUUAAUAUUUAUUUAAAAUUUAUUUAUUUAAAUUUAUUUAAUUAUAAUUUAUUUAUUGUUCAUAAAUUAUUUAUUUAUAUAUGUUUGUAAACAUAUUCGUUUAAUGUUUAUAAACGAAUUUAUUUAAUUUAAUUGAACAAACAUAAACAUAAUAUGAAUAAUUUAUUAUUUAAAUGAAUGAACAUGAAUAAAUAAAGUAAUUUCUUAAUCAACAUGAAUUAAAUACAAACACUUUUAAAAAUAAAUAAACAAAGUACAUUUACAGGCCAACCUUCAGAUUCGACUCCCUGAUGGCAUAUCGUUGGUCUGUUUAUCUUCCAUGUUCUAUCUGAGGCGAUUCAACUGUCCAGAAAGGAGGGGCUUCACCAAAUUUCAGCAUGUAAGCAGUCUCAUGAACAGGCCGCCGGUGCUGAAUCAAUUGAGCUUCCAGAUAAGAAUCGCAAGCGAAGCACCAAACUGACAGGUCACAGGCUUCACACAACCAAAAUAAAAAGUUACCCGCAAAACUUUCCGACUCUCACUCCUUUUUUUUUUUCCUCAAGGAACAAAGAUAGUAAAAUGAGAAGCAAAAAAUAAAGCAAUUAUGACUACAUGCCUAUAGCCGAGUAAAGAUUUAUUUUGGAUUCUAAACUUCAAAAGUUUUAAUUGAAUUUUUAAUUAGAUAUAGUUAUUUUAUUUUAGUAAUUCUGUUUAUGAGAUUGUUUAAAUUAAUGAAAAUAUUAAUUGACGCUAUGAGGAUAGUGUCAAUUGUCACGUGGAUAGUAAUUCUCUCGAUUUUUUAUAUUUCAUAAAUAUAUGAUAAAAUAUUAAAUUCAAAAUAAUAUUUUCAUAUUUUUUAUUGUAAUAAAAGUUAAUAAUUAAAUAUUUUAUUUUUGUUUUUAAUAGAAAAAAUUUUCAAAAAUUAAAAUUAAGUUAAAAUUUUUAAAAUCCUUUUAAAAAAAUUUAGCAUCAUUUAAAAAAUAAGUAAAAAAAUUUGUAUAUCAAUUUAAAAUUAAAUAAAAAUUCAUUUUUAAAAAUAUUAAGUAAAAAUUUCUAUAUAAAUUUUAAAACUGAUUUAUCAAUAUAUUCAUAAAUUUUUUUAUUGAAAAAAUUUAUUUGAAUUUUUUUAUUAAAAUUUUAUAUUUAUAAACAAUAAAAGAACAAACCAAAAAGCAUAAAACAAUUACUAGGGUUUUGGACUCUGUAUAUAUACCCUCAUUUUCCCACUAAACCAAAAUCCACUGCCGAAUCUUGGUUUUGAAUUAGCUCCUCGUCUCCUUUAGCCUUUUCAGAGCUUUGAUCGAGGAGCAGCUAGUUAAUCAAUCAUGGGUCACUCUAACGUCUGGAACUCCCACCCCAAAACCUACGGCCCUGGCUCUCGCGCCUGGUAAUUACUUUCUCUCCCUCUCUCCACUCUAUUUGAUUGCUUUUGCUUAUACAUUUAAAAAAGAAGAUUAUUUCUAUUUAGUUUCCUGGAAGAGGCUAUCCUGUUAAUGGAAGGAAAUAAAAUUUUAUUUUAUUGAUUUUUUGAGUGCCUGAUCCAACGAUUUAGAUGUUGUUCGUAGUAUGUAAGGGUCUUAAUGACAUGGUAUUUGCUUGGAUUGAGAUCUUUUUGGAUUUUUUGAGAGUAGCAUGUAGAAAUAUUCUGCCAAGGUUUUUGUCAAAUCUGGUAUUGUCUUCGUUAAAUGAUAUUGUGGUGUUUCAUGUUACAAGGACCUUAGAAAUUUUUUUGUAUUGUUUUGAUAGCCGUGUGUGCGGAAACCCCCACGCCAUCAUCAGGAAGUACGGACUCAUGUGUUGCAGACAGUGCUUCCGUAGCAAUGCCAAGGAAAUCGGAUUCAUCAAGGUAAAACUAAGACCUCUUCAAUUACUCUUCUGGUGGUUACUGUUAUCUUAUAUAUAUAUAUAUAUAUAUAUAUAAUUUUCAGAUCAGUUGUUUCUUUACAUCCGGGUAUUUCUGUUCUUUUUUGCAGUACCGCUGAAGAAUUUAUACGGUGUGAAGUAGGAAGGACUUUUGCCAAGUAUGAACCAUUGGUAGUCUGGUUGUUGAAUAUGAAGGAACUAAGAAAUUGGUUUUUUUUUUUUUUAAGUUUAGACUGGACCUCAAAGUGGUUGUUGAACUGAGAAUAGCUUGUUGUUUCUCAAUGAAGCAAUCGUAUUGUUUUUAUUUGGGAAUAUCUUUAUUGUUAAGUUUGCUAAUAAAUGUCUUUGCAAUGUGAUUAUAACGAUCCUGUUGAUUAUUGGCAGUUCAUGUGUUCUCUAAAUGAAAUUAGAGGUUCAACUUGUUUACAUUCCGAGUUCUCUGAAAGCGAAGAUUUUUAGUCUUCUUGUCGCAUAUGAUCUUGUUAUGGUCUAGGUCUUCGUUUUUUGAUUCAAUGCAUCAAAAUCUGCAACUCUUGUUUUGAUGUCUGAAAACUAGCAAAGUUUCUGUACUCAUUAAAUUCUGUGUUCAUUGAAACUGUAGUGUCUUGUGUAAGAUGAUGCAAUGUUCUGUAAUUCUAGUUUUAACCAAGUUGGUAUUAUCUUGGUGUAGAAUAUGCAAAUUGGAGUUGAUUAGCCUGUAACUUGUUAACCUAUUCUGAACCCAAUUUUGAAUGAUGGAAGUAUGUAACUGGCUUUCGUAACUGCUAAGAGGGCGCACAAAUGUCUGCAAGACAAUUAUGCUGGUGUUAAUGCAAACAAAAGUUGGGUUUUUUUAUCAACCAAAAGUAGAGUAGAAGUUAAUAUCAUGUCUGUAAAAGUAAUAAUUACUUCUACGUCCCGGAAAGAUGCUGCAGAAGUGCAACCAGCUCAGUGCUUAUUGAGUAAAGUUAAAAUGUGCAUGCAUAGCUCAUAAUUCAUCAGAUAUUAGCAAUGCAUUAUCAAUCUGGAUUGAAUUUUGAAAGACCUUGUACAAACCUCAUGGGAAGCAAUCAGAGUCUUAUGAUCUUAUCCACCCUCAACCUCAAGUUGCAGCAUAACUCCAGCUUUUUCUGUUCAGAACAAUGGCCUUUUGCUAGUGGAACUGGGAAUUGGCCGAUUGUUUUCAUUGUUUUUGAAUGUUGGGGCUGAACCCAGAUAAGACGUUGUUCUUGUGGAUAAGACAGAAUCUACCAGUCAAUCAUGGCAUAAAUUGAGUUUAAAAUUUUAACUGACUGGUUGUUCCCUGUUUGCUUAUUGGAUUUAUUGACUGGAUUUUGUUUUUCUCAUAGGCUCCAUAAGCUCGAGUGUCUGCAUAGAAUUUCAAUGUAACAACCUAAGUAAAAAUUCUCAUCUCACUAAAUUUUAUCAUGUGUAAGCCCUUGAGACUAAAAGCCUUGCACCUUUUCAGCCUUUUGGCUAACAGCGAGAAGUCUUACAGUGAAACCAACGAAACCUAGAAUUCCGCAUGUAGUACAAUAGCUAAGCUAUCAACUUCACCUGAUAAAAUGCAUCAUUUCACCAACCUCCUUGAAUAAAUUUCUUCUUCUUCAAGCUAUUUUUUUGUACCCUCUCUGUACCUUUCUUUUGAAUGUCAAUCAAUUGUCUCAAUCUUAGGUUUCUAAUCCUGGAAGCCUCCUCAAAGUCCCAUCUUCCAUGAAAUUAUUCAAGUUUUAACUUGUAUGUAAAUUUAUUGUCAAAUUAAAGCCACACAACUGUUACUAAAGCUGGAAGAUCAGUCACAAGAAUGGAAUAUACUUACUAAUGGCUCAAAGAAUUCAUCUGGACUAAUUUUCACUUCAAUUCUUAUCGUGGAAUAUUGAUCUAAAAAUCAUGUUUGUUGCUAGAUGCUUAGAUCUUCAUUAAAUUCCUACACUGAUUCAGACCAAAGCUUUGUCUUUAAUGUUGUUAGUCAAACCAGAAUUCUAGGGUUAGUAGCAAAAAUUCUGCUAUAGGUCUGGUGCGGAUGUUGAUUUGGAAGACCAGCUUCUAUUUUUCAUUUCAAAGUCACAUGUUGGGGAUGGCAGUUUAAACUUGGUUUUAGAACUUAUUUAUGUUUUGAGUGUUGUCUGCGGUGCUGUCCUUAGAUGUGGUCCGUUUUGCAGGUUAUAAAACGGAUGACAGCCACAUGCUGAAACUCGUUGGUGACCAAUCACAAUUCUCAGCUGAAAUGGGAAGUUUUAUGAUUUCUCAAAAACCUUUUCAAAAAUGUUGUUAUUCCUUUUUGCGCAUGCGGAAUCAGCAAUUAAAAUAGUCACAAAGUUUGCUGGAAGGAAGAAAAGAAAGAAAGGGAGAAGAGGAAGGAAAGAGAGGGGGUUGUUUAGAAGAUAGUCAUACACUUUUAAAAGUGAGGUAGAAGUGGAAAGGAGAAGCAAUGUUGGAAAGCUAUGGGUCCAAACAAAAUCAUUCUCUUAAGUUUAUAAUCACUUGGAAAGUGGGCUAACUGAUGCCUCAAUUAAACAAACAUCAAUUGGUGGGGGUGUUUUCCUUUUAAAUCAGUUAUUCUAUGGAGUGUGUCUUUAAGUCACAUGGCUGCAAAGUUUCAACUAGCAUCAUUCCGUAGUUCAGAUUUCAGAGCAACAGCCAUAGCUUCACAAGGUUCUUUCUAUUAAUUAUGUCUUUACAAUGUUAAAACAACAAUUUGCUGAUGAAAUUGCAGGAUAUGUCAGAUGGUAUGGGGAUUCUUAACAGCUUCAUGUAUCUUAGUUGUUGGUCAAUUAGUUCAAUCAUCAAUUUGGUCUAAUCCAUAUUUACUACUACUUCACUUAUGCGGCCUUGUUUGUCAUUUUUCUGUCUAGUUGGAGCCUCCCUUUCUUGUUCUUCAUUGGUUAAAUUUGGAAACUUAAUCUGUAAAAGUGCAUGAACUGCAAAAGUCCAAAUAAAGACAACCAAAAGCAGGCCAGAUUGCUGUGAAUUUCAGAUUUGGUGCUUCUUCUUCUACCUACUUGUGCUCUUUCAGUUUACCCUGUCAUCAUUGGAAAUAAAUUUUUACCAUCUAAACUCACCAGAUAGUUAAAAAAAAUGCAAAGAAUGACAAAUAUAUCAGAUAACUUACUUUCAUUAAGGAUUACUAUGAAAAAAGCUUGGUUGCUGGAUAUGCAUACUAUAUAUUCUCUAUUAUUAUCUUAAUUGAAGUAGUUGAUAUGGUAAUUCAAAAACACUAUUUAAUCUGCAGAAUCUAAGGGAAAAAAGUAACAGAAAGUUAAAUAUAGAACAAACACAAGAGGGCAUUGAUGUAAGCCUUGCAACCAAAUUCAACACCAAAGAGAAAAAUUGUAUGAUUGAAACAAAAUCUUGUUUUUAGACACAUGGUUCAUAACAUACUUUUCAUAAAAUUGUAAAAAAAAAAAAAGAAAAAAAUCCAUUAGAAGAAAAACUGCAAGGGGCGAUUAAUAAAUUUGCUUUGGGUCAUUUUCGUAUGAUUAGAAGUGUACAACGAUCAAGAUAUACGACCCACCACCUCUCCAAUCACUUCUUACAGUUGACUAAUAUCAUUGUUUUCACUUUCUCAGCAAGGUUUUACAUUAAACAAACUAGCAACUGAAUUUUGGCUUUGCUGAGAAUUGGCAGAGACAAAAAGGGAAAGUUAAUAUAUUAGAAACUUUGGAAAAAGGCCGGGGAAGAAAAAAAAAACAAAGCGUUGAAAGCAAGGGAUAUAGAGAUUGAGAGAGAUCAAAAGAGACAUUGCAUCUUAUAUUAAACCAAUUAACAAAUUGGUUUAUAGCUUUGCUUGCAAUAAUCACAAGGCAUUCUUUUGUCUUCUCUUUUCUUAAUAAAUUUUCUUUUUGUUGCAUUUUUUUCAUUUGAUGCCAUCAACCACUCGACUGCUUGGAAGCUCUUUUCAUGGGGUUAGCUCAUUCAUGUAGCUCCCCUGCGUAAGGCACCCUCUCUUACAAAUCUAAAGUUAAUCUAAUUAUUAUAACAUUAAGGCAAAGAUUGUAUGGCAUUUGUCGGUAGAGAUGUUGCUAUUUGUCUUACCUUACCCCACAAUUUGUAAGUCAAGCUAAUCUUCUUAAGAUAUUGGACCGAAUUGUUAAAAAUAAAAUUUAAUAUUUUACCAACAAAUUAUAUUAUUGACGGAAAUUUUUCUUUUCAUACCUUUGCUAAUACAUAAUUAAUUCGGUUUAUGAAAAUUAAAAAAGUGAUAUAGAUCUAGAGAUUGUGAUUAUAGUAAAGGGUCAUAAUCAUAGCCAUAAAGUUUUUAUUAAACGGAUGAAAAGAACUUUAAAAAUAGCAGUGAUAUAGAUGUACAAUCUGAUGUAUGCUUCUAAUUGAAGCAGUAGGACAUUUUUUGUGAUUGAAAAGUACUUAAUUUUUUAUAUUAAAAAGAACACAAAAAUCAAUUUUCGAAAGAUCAUAUAAACAUAAAAAAAUACAAAGUUUUUUUUUUUUUCUCUUAUGACUGAAUUCUCCUAAGAGAUUUAUACACGAAGCAGUAAAAGAAUGAAUGAUUCAUCAUUGACAAGUUGUUUGUUUUAACUUUGUUUUAUUAGCUCUUUUAUUUGUUACUAGUAAGUACGAUUACUAUUUUUUUUUGUCUUAAUAGGUAUCACUGUUAAUAUAUAAUUCACAUAUAAAUAAAAAAUUUUACAUCAUUAAAAAAUAUGAAUGAGAUAUUUUAUAUAUACAUAAAAGAUCAAUGAAUCUAAUAGCUUAAAUUUUUAAGUUCAAGUGAUAUCUAAUAUGUAUGUAUAAGCUCUAAUGUGCUUUUAUGGGCUUCAAGUUUGAUUUAUUUCUUCAACAAAUGAUAUCAGAGUAAAAAAAAUCACGAGUUCAAGAAAUCAUAGGUUCGAGUCCUAGUAAUGUAACCUGGGGAGAUUGUUGAUAGAUCGAAAGUUGGAUCAACUCUAUGUACUUGAACACCGAUAUUAAAAUGUUCGAUUUGGAUGUAACGAAUCUAUGAUAAUAUGCAUAAGCGAAAAAGUCACAAGUUCAAGAAGUCAUGGGUUCGAGUCCCAGUAAUGUUGCUGGAGGGAGAUUGUUAACAGAUCGAAGAUUGGCUACGUUAAUUAACUCUAUGUGCUCGAACAUUGGUAUUAAAAGGUUCGAUUUAGAUGCAAUGAAUCUAUGAUAAUAUGCAUAAGCGAAACAUCCAAGUGGGUGAUAUGUUGAAUCAACUUGGAGUGUAAGCUUGAGAGAGUAGACAACGUAGGUAGCAAGGUUGAAUGUUAUAGCUUGACCCCUGACCCAAAAGCGCAUUAGAGAUGUAAGGUUGUCCGAUCUAAAGGAGAUGUUAAUAGGACUUACUCAUAUGAAAGAGUCGGGAUAUAACUUAAUUAGAACUCACAAGUGAACAUGAAAAAUUGUUGAAAUAUGAUUUACAUGUGAAUGAAAAAUCUCACAUCAUUAAAAAAUUUGAAUAAAAUGUCUUAUAUAUGCAUAAAAGAUUCAAGAAUCUAAUAGUUUAAACUUUUAGACUCAAAUAAUAUCCAACAUAUAUGUAUAAAUUUUUUGAUAUGUUCCUAUAAAUUUUAAGUGUAAUUUAUCUCCCUAACAAUCACUUCUUAUAUAAUAGUUUAAACAUUAACAUAAACAUAAAUAUAAUCCUUUGAGAUUAAAACUACUUAAAUCAAACUGUCUUGUUUACUCGAGACAAUUUCCAGCAUACACACCCCAAAACAUUGACCAUCCCGUUAUUUUAUACCCAUUUUUGUCAAAAUUGAUGUUGUCUUUUUUUUUUUUUAAGUUAUCUUUGAGGGUAAAACUGCUGGCAUUUUAGAUAAGAUUUUAUUGUUACAUUGUUACUCUUUGAUCUUGACAGUUACAGGUUGAUUUGGAAUAGCAAUAAAACAGUUAUGUACAUCUCUACUGUUUAAUUAUGGGUAUUAAUGCAUACACACCAAAAUCAAGGCUAUAGACAAGUAUUAGUACCCCAAGUUCUUCUCUUUCACUUCAACAUAAAAAUGUGGGUAAAUUUACGACAUUGACCUAGUACAAGAAAAAAUAAAAUCAAAUUAAUUAGAAAAAAUGAAAUGUGAAUAAACAGAUUAUUCAUCUAUGUAAAGGUAAAAUAAUGAUUUUUUUAAUACUUAUAAAUUAAUUUGGUAAGUCUACCUUUGCCGCACUUGAUCGACCAUACACCAUAUCAUUUAAUUUCCAAAUAAAAUAAAAUAAAAGUAGUUUCAACUUUUAAAGUAUAAGAGAGUGGGGGGACAGUUAACCUAAAAUAGAUCUGAAAAUGAUUUUUGAGAAAGGCACAGAGCAUGGAAAAUCAACUAAACCAAGAACAAGGCUUAAUAAUUGUUAUUAAUUAGUUAAUAAUAUAUAAAGACCGCAAGCAAAUAGCCUUGUGAUCUUAAAAUGUUUAUUUUUUUUAAAUGAUUAAAGUUUAAAUUUUGAUGAUUUUAAUUUUAAAAUACUCAAGUUUGCAAAGAAAUUUAAUUAGUAAUUUAUAAAAAAAUAUUUAAUAUAUUUGCAAUGAAAAUUUUUAAUUUUAUAAACAAAAUUAAAAUAAUAACACAUAUUUUAUUUGUUUUAACUUAAAUUUUUUAAAUAUAUAAAAUUAAAAAUAACACAUAUUUUAUUUAUAUUUAUAUUAAUUUCGUUUAUAAAAUUAAAAAAAUUAUUAUCAAUAUAUUGAAUAAUUUAUCUUUUUUUUUUUUAUAUUGAGGUUGAGGAAGGGAUCGCAUAAAUAAUUCAACACUUCUGGAUAAAUCAUGUGGGUUAAAGUUGGGGAUUCAACUUAAUCAGUAGUUGAUUAAGCAGGAAACCAGUUGUUUUAUUAUCAUUUCUCAUUUGGAUUUCUAUAUGAUUUAUACCAUAAUGUUUCAUUAUAAAGAUUAAAGUCCAAAGAAAUUGGUAAUUAAUUCAUUAAAACUAAAAAAAUUUACAUAAUUAAUAAAUCUAACGUCUUUCCAAAGAUUCACAAGAACCCAAACCCAGAAGCCCAGCUGAAUCUCUUUCUUAUUCUUUGCUUUCGCUUUAUAUCUCUCUUUUCCCGAAUCUCACCUUACCAACUCUUUUCUUUUCUCUCUCGGAAAACCCAGAAAAGCUGUGUGGGUUUCAGUGCUGUUGAAGUAAAAUGCAGAAUCCUUAAGUAACCCUUUAUGGGUUGUUUUCUAUUAUCCUCAAAAUUAUCUAAAAUCUUGUUUCCUUCGAGGUUCUCAGCCAUGAAAAACAAUAAAAAAGAAUUUUCUUUCAAGGCAAUGCAGAAGAGAAGGUAGAUUCCUUUGCAGUCUCAGAUGAUGGUGGCUGCAUUUUUUCAUCCACCAACUCCUUCACAGCCCCCUGUUCAAGAACCACAGCAAGAAACAAAUGCCCAUCAAGAAGAAAACCUAAGCACAACAACCGAAAGGUCUCCUCUUAAAGACAAUGGCUCCACUGUUACAAGAAAACCCAGAGGUAGACAAGUUUCUUCCAGGUAUAUGUCUCCUUCUCCUUCUUCCACUUCUUCUUCCUCUUCUUCUUCAGCAGCAACAAAGCGACAGCCAAAACAACCACUAGAUUUCCUUCACCUCUUAUUUCUCGUUCCACUAAUACGACUCCAACGGGGAACAAAACGACUACGAGAUCUCCUUCUCCGCUUCUUUCUCGUUCAAAAAAUGCUACUUCUACUUCAGCACCGACUUCAACGGUGUUAUCUUCGCUUCCUAAACGGUCUCAAUCUGUGGACCGGAGGCGGCCCGGGGGUCAAGUGUCACAAGGAAACAAUGUUAAUGCCACGGAAUUGUCAGCUGCUUCCAAGAUGUUGAUUACUUCAACGAGAAGUUUGUCCGUUUCAUUUCAAGGUGAGGCCUUUUCGCUUCCGAUUAGUAAGACAAAGGCUCAAGUGGGUUCUACUUUGACUAGAAAAGCAACUCCUGAAAGGCGUAGAGCUACUCCAGUGAGAGAUCAUGGGGAGAACUCGAAGGCGGUGGAUCAGCCCCGCUGGCCUGGGAGAACCCGGCAAGGGAAUCCGGGAUCGAAUCCGUUGUCUAGGAGUUUGGAUUAUAGUGGUGAAGGGAAGAUGUUUGGAUCUGGUGCAAUGUUGGCUAAGUCAUUGCGACAAUCAAUGAUGCUUGACGAGAGCAGUAGGAGGGUUUCUUUUGAUGGUAAUAGUAGGUUGAGUUUGGAUUUCGGAAGUGCUGCUGAGUUGUUAAAAGAAGCCAAUAAGCAAAACCGAGAUGCUAAUUCUCUAAAUGAGGCUUCUUGUGUCUCUUUCGAUCUCACUGCGUCUGAUACAGAUAGUGUGUCUUCUGGGAGCACCAAUUCUGGAAUGCAAGAAUGUGGAGGAAGUGGGAUUUCGAAAGGGAGGGGCGGACCCCGUAAUAUUGUUGUGUCUGCAAGGUUUUGGCAGGAAACUAAUAGCCGGUUGAGGCGGUUACAUGAUCCGGGUUCACCUUUAUCUACAAGCCCUGGGUCUAGAAUUGGUGCUCCAGCUAAGUUCAGUCAAUCAAAAAGGUUUUCUAGUGAUAGUGCAGUGUCUUCUCCACGGACAAUGGCGUCUCCUAUUAGGGGAGGUACAAGACCUGCUUCUCCUAGUAAGCUUUGGACAUCUUCAGCUUCAUCUCCAUUGAGAGGGCUAAGUCCUGCUCGGAUGAGAAAUGCAGUUGGUGGGCAGAUGAUUGGUAAUUCUGUUAAUUCCCCUUCAAUUCUUAGCUUUUCUGUUGAUAUUCAGAGAAGAAAGAUGGGGGAGGAUCGGAUUGUUGAUGCACACAUGUUGAGGCUUCUUUAUAACCGUUACUUGCAAUGGAGAUUUGUAAAUGCAAGGGCAGAUGCUACUUUCAUGGUACAGAAACUGAGUGCAGAGGUAUGGUUAUCGUCCUGUCCAUCUCAUUUUUCUCAAUACAUUCAAUGCCAUGUGUCUAUGCGAUUUUUGUUUGAGAUAUUUCGUGAAUGCUUCAAUUUACUUCAUAGUAAUAAUUUUUCAAACAAGCUGAACCCAACUAGUUUAGGAUAAAGAUUACCUCUAUUGCAAGUGGCAGCUUACAUUUGGCAUGACGGUAUCUCAUAGAGAACAUCAUGUGGUCUUGUGCAAUAUGGCAUUAUGUAAUUUGUGUAUAUGCUAAAUUGCUGAAUUUAUGUACUGAAGGUUGCAUUUCAUUUAGUUAUCCUUGCCACCUGGAAUUCCCCAUAGUUCGUAAGAAAGUAUAUUCUUGUCCUUUUAUACAUGCUAGUAGAUUAGAUUUAGAGACAGAAGGAUCUUAAGGCAAUUUAUUGUCAUGUUUUUGAAUGGUAAAAUGCUUGAUGAGAUUAAUGAUUGGUGAGUAGGCUACCUGCUAAAGAUAAGAGCUAGUACUCUAGUCAGCUUUGGCAUAGUACUUAUCAACACAGGAUGAUGUAAAAUGUUUGCGAAAGACAUACUACCGAAUGAAUGUUAUUAAGCCUCUUUUCCCCUCUACUAUUCUCGUACUAGAGUAUUUAUCAGUAACUUUAAUCGCUUAAACUUCCUUGAGUAGAAUUUUGAGUCCUCACUAUUACGGCUAGGUUGGAUGUCCGGACAUUUUAUCACAUUGUGAAAGAGAAGCUUUGCUCUGGACAGUUGCCAUUUAUCAACAAUGGAUGCUACAUAGUCAGUGACUUGGAUUCCAAUAACUGUUUUACCUUUGUCCUUAUUGUCAUUGUACCACUAUUCCUAUGGUCCUUGUUCAUUUUCAACUUAGAGGUAAGGAAAAGUUUAAUGAUCUAAAGGAACUAACGGCCUAUUCUGAUGAUUUGAGUUGUUAUAUGAUGUCAAUAUGGAGUGAGUGUUGAAUGGUAAUUAUUGUAAAAUACUGUAUUUGACUGAUGAAUUUGAUAUGUGAUGUUAACGUAGAUGAAUUGUUGCUAAUUUUGUGUAUCCUUCUUGCCAUAAGUAUGAAUGUGUGAAGAGCUUUUCAAUCUCUCUCUACUGUUGUAAAUUUGCACAAUGGAAGGUUUAGUGGACUUAUUGGAAAAAGGCAGAGAUUAGAGAUAAGCUUGCUGAGGAAUUAUUUAAAUGAUAGAUUGAGUUUCAUCAGUGUCUAUUAUCAACUGCUCAGUGAUGAUCUUAUUCUGUUCUUGACAUGAGAGAAGUGAAUGAUAUUGACUGCAUAUCAGUUAAAAGGGCCGAUUCUGAUACCGGAUUAAGAGAGUGAAGUGAAAUGAAUCUCUUAAUCACACUCAUAAACAAAUGGAUAAUCUCACUCCCUUGAGGAUAUAGGUUCCACCACCCCAAAGAAACAAGAAAAGAUUACUCUAAAUUCUAGGGAUACAGAAUUCACCACCAUAAAGAAAAGAGCAAAACAAGUUCACCACCCUAAGGGAAGCAACCCAAGAGAUACAAAACUUAAGAAGGGAAAACACAAGGGCAGAUACAAAAGUUUGGUCUUUUGUAUAGAUAAAAUUAUUGGGCUUAGAAUAGGAACUUGCUCCUGCAUUAUAUUCAAAGAUUAGAAUAACUGGUAGAACAAGAAAGAUUGCUCUGGUUCUAAUAUUCUUUAAGAUAUACUUCUCUAGUAAUGAGAAUCAUGCAAGGGAAAUUUGGGCUGCUGGGUUUUGCUAUAUAAUAAACAGGGAUGGUUAAGUUUUCUUUUAUCAACAGUUUGGUAUAAUUGUCAGUUUAAUAUAAAAAAGAACUAGGUUAAGAAAAUAAUAACAGUGAGUUGAGAUUUAACAUGAUGUUCUCUAAUAAGUCUGAUAUGUUCAUGUCUAAUGUUCCUUAUUUUAUACCAGAAAAACCUGUGGAAUGCUUGGGUAACAACAUCAGAACUGCGGCAUUCUGUCACCCUUAAGAGAAUCAAGUUGCUAUUGCUGAGGCAAAAAUUGAAAUUGACUUCCAUCCUGAAGGGACAGGUAAGAUUCAAAACUUCACGUUUCUAAAUUGUUGAAUCAAAUCCUUGUAGACAUUUUCAUAGGUGCAACUGCUUCAGCUAUCUGAUUAUGUUUUUAGCUUCUUCAUAUUUAUCACAUCGUACAUGUAAUUCAUGUAUGUAUCCGUACUUUCAUAGUCCAGAGCAAAGCACAUGCUGCAUCAGGUUCAAUUGACAUCCAUAUAGAUGAGAGUAAAAAAAGGCAACAUUUUUAGGAAUACUGUUGAUGAGGAUGAAAUUAUCAAAAUUGGGACUUGGGUGUUAUAAUGAGGAAUUUUUUUAGUUUUCAGCAAUGGUCUAAGGGGGCUACAUGGCCUUGGAAACAUGCUUUAGAAGCAGUCACCAGUCAUGUACAUCAUGGCAUGAGUAUGUACUGAAUUUUUGUCCUAAUUAAGACACCUAAAAGAUGGAAAAAGGAAAAUUAGAUUUGUUAUUCUUGUCUGCAGUAGUGAAUGGUUCAGUGAUUGAUUUGUGUUUGAAUUUCGUUCACCUUCUCGUGUCAGAGGAAGACAAGAAGAAAACAAGCAAAUAAGAAAUCAAGGAAAGUCAAGAAAAGAUAGUUUUGUUCUAUUAUAUUUCAAGCCCAGAAGGAAAAAUGCUGUUGAUGACUUGAUAAUUUGACCUUUACUCAGUUUCUCUUGUUGCCCUUUCUCCACUUCUUACUGUGUGCUUGUUAGAAUAGAUCUAAUCCUUCCCCUCUCAGUUACAAGAUGCUGGCUUUUAUAGCAUGAAUUUCUCUUCUUCAUGACUAAAAUUUGUUAUAAUUGGUGAGUGUAGAUAGCUCAUUUGGAAGCAUGGGCCCUCCUCGACAGAGACCACUCUAGCUCUUUGCUAGGAGCAACUGAAGCUUUAAAGGCCAGUACUCUCCGUCUUCCAAUUGUUGGAAAAGCAAUAGUAAAUUUCUUCCUUUUUCUGUUUUCCCUGCUUUUCAAUAUACAAUCUAUUAAUGGUUCAGCUCAUGACUAUCAGUGUGGUUUAAAAUGUUGCCCUUGUUUCUCUUCCCUUUCUCUGUUUUCUCUCAUAAUAGGCUGAUGUCCAAAAUCUGAAGGAUGCUGUCAGUUCAGCAGUUGAUGUGAUGCAGGCAAUGGCAUCCUCAAUAUGCUCAUUAUCAUUAAAGGUAAAAUUCAUUAAUUAAAUCUUGUAGACAUUAUUGUUAGCAAAAAAUUCAUUAAAUUCUUUCCUGUGGUAAUUAUUUGUUUUUCUACUACUUUUAAGAAGUUUAUAGAUAAAUGCCACUAACACAAGAAAGUUCUUGAGUUGUGUUCUUAAUUGUUGCCUAUCAACAGGUUCUUGUUUUGCUGGUUUUCUUUAAUACAUAUUGUCUUCUGAUUAAGCCAGUUGUAACUUGUAAAGGCUUGACCAUAGCUCUAUAACAAGCCCUUCACUUGGUUUCUGACAUGAGAUAAAAAACUGAUUAUGGCUGUAGGAAAUGGAAAGUGCAUUUAAAAGUUAAAAACUCAUAGGUUUUGCUUGUUAGAGUGGAUAGAAAAAUGGAAAGAGGGAAAAUUAGAAAGAGAGAAAUGUGAAAAGAUAGAAAACAUAUUUUUUCUUUCCAUAGCAUGCUUGGUAGAAAAGAUUGAAAAGUUACAAAGGAAAUGUAAUUUUUAUUCCAUCCAUUGCAUGGUAGAGUUGAAAAAUGAAAGAAAAUGAAAGUCAUAUUAUUUUACCAUUAUUCCCUUUGUAAGAUAAAAUAUAAAAAAUGGUGAAUAAUCUUGUAAAUAUGCACCAUUGACUCACAUCUCCAAUUUUUUCUCCUCUUAUCAUUUCAAAUUGGAAUGAGUUGUUUUUGUGAAUAAGGGUAGAAAAUAAUCAUCUUUCCUAUUUUUUUUUCUUCUCUUUCCUACUAAGCACGCUCAAAAUUCAUUUCUUUAUGCUUUUUCACCCCUCUCCCCAAUCUAUUGUUCCACUUUUUCACCCUACCAAGCAUACUUUUAUGGUUUAGUGGGCUAUAUCUCACCAUAAUUUGUUCUGUUAGACUGGAACUGCAACAACUCUUUUAUGUUGUACUUAUGUGUUUGCCUUUUUGGAUUGUUUGUUGACUUUGGUGCCUAGGCUAGUAAAGGAAAUUGUAGAUAGAUAAGAGCAUGCUCCAAAAUUAAUGAUUAAAGCACUCAACCACAAAUAGGAGUCUUGAGGCUAGCUAGGCAAUGAAAACAUUUGUUACCAUUUGUCGGUGGGUCUUAAAAACAGUGAUGCAAUACUCCAAUUGAGUGGCGUUUCUCUAUGGAAAAGAGAACGGCUUACUGAAAGGUGAUGCCAAAAAGAAUAGAAAGUUAAUAGCAUAAUCCCUUCUCCCUUUCAGCUGAGUGGAUUCUGUGCCUGGCUCUUACCAUUUAGAAAACAGAUGAGAUAUUUUUGUCAACAGGAACUGUUAUUAUAUAUUCAUUAGGGGUGAGCAGAAAUUGGUUCAAACCAAUUUAACCAACCAAAACCGAUGAAAAAUGAUCAAUUUGAUUUGGUCUAUUUGGUUUUGGUUUUAGUCAGUUUUUUUGGAUCGAUUAAAUUGAUUAAAUUGUUUGGUUUUCAGUUCUUAAAACUAAUAACCAAACUGAUCGGAUUAAUUGACUUUUUAAUAAUAAGAAAAAAGUUGAGAUGAGUAUUUUUAUUUAUCUUUUUCUUGUAAAAUGUUAUUAAAAUUAUUAAAUUCUUUAGUGAUUUCGUUUGAAUGAUACUUAAAUUUAAGUUUUAUUAAAUUGAAUUUAUAACUAAAUAAUUGUUUAUAAUAAAAAAAAAUGAUAAAAUGUUCAGUUUUUUAACUGAACCAAUUUUAGUUAGUUCGGUUAUGAUCGGUUAUUUAAAAUUUUAUGUUGAUUCAGUUAUUUGUUGAAUGAAAGUUGAUUAAUUCAAUUAUUGAUUUUUUCGAACCGAAUUGAUCAAUCACUCAUCCCUGUAGAUAUUUAGAAAUUUUCCAUUAAAAGAAAAGAUAAUAUACAAACUUUUCCAGCACUCUUGUCCCUCAUCCUUGAAAAGGCACCGGAUUUACAAUGAAUUUUGUCUGUGGGGGCAUCUAGUUUUGCAACUGCAAAUGUCAUUUUCUAGGUUUGUAAUGUUAGUGUUACACCUUGAUGGAACACAUACUAACUUAAUGCUAUUGAAAUGUACUCUGACAACAAAAGGGAUAAAGUUUUAAUGAAGCCUUCACUCCUUGAAAAGGGAUGAAAGAAGGAAAUCUCGUAGUUUGUUUGAGCCUGUUUAUUUAUGCUUCACCUGAGCUUGCUCUUCGAAAGGAGCAAAUCUACCUAAUUAGCUAAUACCAUUUGUCCUUUGUAGGUGGAGGAAAUGAACUGUUUAGUGGAUGAACUUGUGAGUGUGACUGCAAAGGAAAGGGUUUUGCUUGAACAAUGUAAAGAUUUUUUGUCCAUGUUAGCUGCCAUUCAGGUAAACGUAGCAUUUUGUUUUAUAUUCCAAGCUAUUCUCCGCCUCAUCUGCUCAUGCGGCUCAUUGUUUAAGGACGGUUCUUUUCAAUAGGUUAAGGACUGUAGCUUGAGGACACAUAUAAUACAACUAAAUCGUGUACCCACUACCAGCAGCCGGACAACACGUGUAGAACUGAUCUUAUUUGACUAAUCACUCUAAAUGCUAACAACAUUACACACCCAAGCUCAUGUUUUUUCAAUGGGUGGAGGCGGCACUGGACAAAAUAAGAGUGGAUUGAAUAUAGCUAGGCUUGGCUUCUCAUUUUAGCAGUUUUGGAACCAGUUGUCUUCAAUGAUCACGCAUGUAAUUUUUUUUUUUUUUAAUUUAGGGAAAGUGGCAUAUCCUCUCAACUGACUUCUGUAUACAAGAACUCUCUUAUUUUUUUCUUUUUUUUUUAGGUAAAAGAAAGCCUUGUCUAUGUAAAUAUGUAAAGUUCACCCGAUAACUAAUUACCAUGUAUUUCUUUGUCUACUUUGAUUAAUCAUCUAAGUAUGAUCUUGUUGAUGCUUGUUCAAUCAAAAGACAGUCCCCAUUUCCAUUUUCUCCAAAUUCAAUGAAGUGCAUCCACUUUGAUUUUGUGUAAUUAUAAGCAAGAUUGGUGCAGGAAAUUGAAUUCUGCUUUCUUGCCCGAAUUGAAUAAACCACCUUGAUCGAACAGCGAUCUGCUGAAAUUUCUUUGUCAGAGCUUAUCUAAAUAGGGUGAGACGGGUAAUGAGGAUUUCGGCAUCUGACACGGAUGGAUAUGAUCAACGUACAAGGCUCAAAACCAAACACAUGAUUCAUGAAACACGAGGCAGAGUCAGGAGGGACCUGGUGAAGGAGCUGACAAAAUAGUAUUCUUGAUUUUCUGCCUACAUUCAAUGUUCCCAACAUACUCGGUAGCUUGGAGGGUCAAAUUCUGUUUCAGUUGCAAAUUUCAAUGGUAUGAUAAAACUAGGAUCAUGUGUUCCAGUGAAAAUGGGAUUGGUUUUAUUGACAAAAGCGGUGGAAGCUUAGAAAAUAAGUAAAGGAGAAUUACAAGAUGAAGCUCAACUUUUCACAAAUUUAUCUUGAGUGAAUUGUAUUUAAUUUUUUUUAAUAAAAGUGAGUGAAUUAUUUGAAUUUAUUCUGAAUUCCAUUUAAUAUGUAAGCAAUUCAUCUUUCAUAAUCUUCCUUUUCCGAUAUUGGAAGCAACGGUCAUCGUUCAUCAAUGUUUGAGAAAUCUAUUUCUUUAAAUGAUAAAUUAUAGUAACUCUAGUAUCUAAUGAAAUUUAGGUAAAAUUUUUAGUAUUUAAGUAGCUGUCAAAGUGAGAUCGGAGAAGAAGAAAAAGAAAAGGAAAACUAUGGAUGAAGAGAAAAAGGAGACAUUACAGCAAUAUUUGAGCAAACAACCAAAGUAGUCAUCGACAACUCACGUUUCAGUUCCGGCGAGUGGGGAGCUCAAAACCCCUACGCCCACCACUAACAUGGGCUGCCUUGCCUCCGCCGGUUACUCUUUUUCUUUUUGACCUCCACCUCCCUUACUGUGCCUGCGCCUUAGACUUUCCUUUCUUCGCAUUGUCAUCACGUGCUACAAUUUCAAGCCGGCUUUGAUCGUGACUUCUUAACUUCCUUCGUCUCUUUCUUAUUUUACUUCGAUUUUUUUUCCCGAUGCCAAAAAAUUAAAAUUAUUGAUUCUUUAUUCAACAAAGCAAGAAAAAUAUAAGUGAUAUUUUAUAACUAUCAAUUGAGUCGAUAAAAAUCAAAUGAUUUUCAUAACUAUCGAUUUUUAUAAAUUUAAUAUAAGUGAUAUUUGCGGUAUGCUUUAAUAAUAAAAUGAAAUACUAUAUCAUUGCCUAUAUAAAUUUUUUUAUCAAAAAAAUAAUUAUUUUGUUUUGUUCUUUCCAACUUCCUUUUCUUGUUUUUUAUUUGAAGAUUUUAAAACUCUUUUUGAAUAGGUAAUUCUCUUCUUCACUGCAAAAACACCCUGCUAAGGUUUUGCUUUUCUUUUUUAAUAGACUAGUAACAUUCCUUUUCAUGAUUUUAUAUUGUAAAUGGCUAAGAUAUUGCAAAGCUUGAAUCCCAUUAUCAGCAAAUUUUUUUAAAAUAAUUUAUAAAUUCAAUAUUUAUAUAUAUAUAUAUAUAUUGUAAUUUAUCAGCAAAGCUGUAGUGCAUUUGUGUCCCCAUUCAUUCCCAUUCCUAUCGGGCUUUGAAGAAGGUUCGAUUUCCAUGAGACCACUAUUUGAUUUAUGGACUGCGGUGAUGCCGGGAAACAUAAAAAAAUCAAUUUGCAAAAUGCAAUUGAAUGGACCCCAAACCCCAAUCCCAAACAAUUGAGAAGAAAAAGACAAGGGGUUUUCUUUCACAAGCCUAAAAUUAAAAACUAUUGGUUUCACAAAGAGACCAAAAGCAAGAAGAAAAAUGCAUGGCUGACAGUGCCUUCCACCACAGUUCCAUUUGAUAUUGAUACACCGACAUGCUUCCGAUGGUUUGAUAGUAGGUUGUUUCUUCUAAAAAAAUAAUUUCUUUGAUGGAUUUUUUUUUUCUUUGGCAUAAGUCACUUGUAAAAUGACUCUUUAAAGUAACCAAAAGCCAGUCUCACAUUGAAGUAGUUUGUUUCCAAUGCCAUAUUCUUUUCUUGACGUCAUAAAUGCCAGUGUUCAACAAUUUUGAGCAAAUUCAAUGCUUUCAAGCAUGAUUUUUCUAUUAAAAAACCAUCCUAUAAAUCACAACAAUUGAUUUCUCAAGUAGUCAUGUAUGUCAAAAUGGUUUAAUUUCGUCAAUAAUUGCAUAACAUGGUGACAAAUAUUAGAUUUUUAAUUUUAAUUAUUAUAACUUAAUAUGACAAUUUCAAAAAUAAAAAAUAGUUUAAUUUCUAAUUAAGUGAAAGAGGCGUUUUCAUUAAAAAACAUAAAUUCGGAAGUGAAAAUUAUACAAAAUCAUUCAUGCAUGUCUAAAGUACAAGCAUAAAUGAUUUCACUUGAAAACGAAAAUGAAAAUGGGAAUUAAAGACGACUUCUUCAGUUCUUCUUAUUCAAUAACUCAUAAAUAUAAAGCUUUUUUAAUAAGGGUAAUUCGAAAUUCUACAAAAUUUCAUGGAACUUCAACAUGCCGAAUAUGAAGGAAAAGAUCAUACAUCUUAUGGUAACUUAAAUCAAAAUUACUAAGUUCCAAAAAAGAUUGAAAGUUUUCUCAGAUGAAUAGUCUCAUAAGCUUUUGUUCACCGCCGCCCUUUGAACUACUGCCAUCUCCAGGAGAACGGCUUCCCAACGUUGUCGUUUCUGACUCCUCCGACGACGGCGUAGCUUCUCUCAUCCUCUUCACCGUUCUAUCAUCACCGAUCAUCAAGCAGAGAUCAAUAUCAGUAGCUUUACAUUUAAUCACUUCAUCGAAAUCCUUCAUUUUCACAAAAUCAUGCUCUUUUGUCCCAAAAAACUGCCCCCCACCAACCGUUUCUGAAACAUCCUCAAAGUCUGACCCUGAAACCCCACCGCUAAAUUCGGGCAGCGGGUGCAACGUGCCUCCUUGAAGCACCGUCUGCACCGCCGACUGGCAGACGUUCCAGUUGCGUGUCCACAGCAACCCAACGGCUCCACUCACGGGGUUCACCAUCCUCCCCACGGCUUCAAACAAAAGUGACUGAAACAAAGCUGCAAACCCAUAUGAAAACAGAGAAAAAGCCAAUGACUUUUCAUUAUUUCAAGGAUAUAUAUAAAACUAGUAGAACAUAGAAUUACCAGGUCUUUGAGUCUGGGGCACGGAAGAAAGGAAGGACAUAAGGCCAGCGCGGCCAAAGAACCUGGCGACGAAAACGGUGGCGUGGGCUUGGGCUUGAGGAUUGUCUAUACAUUGCAAGCUUUGUCUAAGAAUGCAAUUUUCACUGCACCCUUUUCGGAGAACUCUACAGCCAUUGCAACUCAUUGUGAAGAAUCUUUCAGCAUAAGAAGAAUGGGAACAAUGGAAGCUAAGAAAAAUGAAUAGAUAAACAGAGACUUAUAUAGAGAGUGCAUGUGGAGAAAUGUGGGUGAUAAUUGAUAAUUGGGAUGUGGGUUAAGUAACCAUGGUUUAUUUUGUGGAGUUAACUGUGGUUAAGGGGAAUUUGACAAACUGAUUUGUGGUGGGUUUUGGGGUUCCAAAGAAAUGAGUGAGGAGCGGCUCCAGGUCUCCGCAGAUGGGGAGAUUGGGGAUGUACCAGGCAGGCAGGCAGGCAGGCAUAGCCGUUGGAUUCUGUUUCGUGGAUGUCUAUGACCAUGGAUUCUUUUCUUUUCUUUUACAAGUCAUGGACGUGAAGGCGAAGAUCAUUUUCAAUCAUUAGAGAUUGUUUGUCACAAUCCAUAAACUUUCUAUUGGAUUUUGACUAGAAGAUAAUGCAUUUGUUCAUCUAAAGUUUGAUCUGCAAGUUUAUUUGAAGCCUUUUUAGUCAAACGGUGCAGCUGCCAUUCUAUUAAAAUGAAACUGCAAAUUUUAAAAUUGAUUUAGUUGUCAAAUUGACAUUGUUUCUCCCAAAUCAUACAAAUCCCAAAAUGAAAACUUGGUUAUACUGACUGGUUUUAUUGAAAGUGUGACGUGGUGAAUUUGAGAUACUAAAAAAAAAACCACAAUUUGGAUAGGUUUUGUUGAUACCUUUAAACCUGAUAAUAUAAGGUUCAAGAAGCAAGUGCGGAAACUAGGAAGAAAAUGGGGUGAUGUGAGAGGAUGGACGAGGAUGACGAUAGCGAUGAAGCGGACACGUUGAAGUUUUAUCCGAUACUUUGCUGCACAGCAUUUUAAUAUAAAAGAAACGUGUAGUGAAUGUGAGAAGCUAAAAUGAAAGUUUAUUCUUCUUCUUUUUAUAUUUUAUUUUUUUGGUGGAGAAUGGGAUUCCAAGCCAUGACCAUUGGUUUUAACUUUUCUUUGGCUUCAUUGACAAAUAUUGAGUUAAAAAAAAAAACUUAAAAAACAAUAAAUGUGAUUAAUAAGAUAUAAUUAAUUGAGUUUGAAUCGAUAUAAUAUUAAAUUUAAAUUUAAUUUAAUUUAAUUUAAUUUAAAUUUAAUUUUUUAAUUUAAAUUCAAUUUAAAAUAAAAAUUAAAUUAUUCAAGCGUAUAAGAUUAGACUUAAUUAACAUAUAAAAAUAAAUUUAAUUAUUAUAUUUGAUAAAUUUUUAAUUAUUUAUAUUUAAAUUUGAUUUUAAAUUCGAGAUAUUUUAUUUAUUAAAAUAAUAAAAAUAUAUUAAAAAUAAAAAUUUGAUUAAACUUAUAAAUUAUUCAAAUCAUAUAUAAAAUUACUUAAAUUAAAUUCUAUCAAUAAAUAAAAUUAUUCAAAUUUAAAUUCGAUUAAAUAAUAAUUAAAUCAAAUUUAAAUUUUAUCUCAAUUAAAUUUAAAUAAUUUAUAAAUAUUAAUAUAUUAUUUGUACCUCUAAUUAGAUACGAAGUUAGGGGUAGGCGAUAUCUGAAACUAAAUAAAAGCCUUGGAUGGUGAGAGAGUGACGUUUUCAUCUUUGGUGCUUUCCUUCACAGCACACAAUUCUUUUUUUUUUUUUUCUUUUUAAUUGUCCCUUCCAGGGAAUAGAAGGACAAAUGUGGUUUGGGAAGUGGAUUGGGCAAGCAUUAUACAGGUCAGUUUUUGGUUCUAUAUAUACCAUCUCCAUGAAUCAGAAUUUAUUGAGAUUUUCCUUUUUUUUUUUUUUUUACUGCCCUUUGAGUUGGUUUAGUUACAUUAUGCAGAAGAGAAAAGCUCUUUUUUUUUUCUUUUCUCCUUCAGUAAAAGAACAAUCAUGAAUCUAAUUACAUAUAUAGGUCACUGUAAGUUCAACUUGUUCACAGCUUUCUGAUUUCAUAGAAAUUUUGUUCUUCAUUACAAAUACAAAUAUGGUUGGUCAAUGCAAGAAUGUUUUAACUUCAGUUAACUAUAUAAAGGUACAUUAAUCUGAAAUUUAAUUUAUUUGAUUUAUAUAAUUACAUAAAAAUAUUUAAUAAAUUUAAAUUUUAAAUUCUAAUAUCAACAACUCUUUUUAAUUCAAGUUGCGACAUACAUUGAAAAAAAUAUAUAAAAGUAUAUAUAAUUUGAGGAAGAAAAAAUGAUAGGCUAACGCCAAUCCUUUGUAAUAAACGCUCCUAAGAAAAUCUUUCCUGGUUGGUUUUGUGUCCGAGUGGAAGCUUAUCUCAGAGAGCUCUUAACUUGGGCAGCUUAUCCAAUACCUUUGAGAUAAACGGUACAUGAAAAAGGUACAAGCCCAUCGAAACGUGAAGUUAACAGCUGUUUUUUUUUUUUUUCUUUUAUUUGGAAAGUAAACAUUGUAACUUUUGCUGCGUCACAUUUAGUAAGAUUUUUUCUUUUUUUUUUUUCUUUGAUUUUAUUAAUAUUGAUUAUUCACGUGUUUGUAUCAUAUAUUCAUAUCAACGUAGGAGAGAUUGAACUCAAGCUUGGUUUUUCCUGUAUUGAAUAUCUGCUCAUUUGUCUUCAACAAACAGGAUUGAUUGGCAUCCUGCAAAUAUGUACUUUUUACGGAGUUCUCAUGAAACAUUGGUUGGAAGCUAUUAGAUCAUAAGUGAGAAAAUGUAUUCUAAUAGCAACACUUAAUUGAACAUCAAGUUAAUGUUUUUCUACUGCAUUCGCCAGGAGUUUUGCACAACCUUAAAGCAAUAGCAUGACAGAACCUUCAACAAAGCAACUUGAUUGAAAGAAGCAAGGAGUGAAUCACUUAUCUUUCUACUAUUUCGUUACAGAAACAUAGCUUUGAAGAUUUGAAUUGAACCCCAAAAAAAUGCACUCAACAUUGAAUGGCCAAUAUAGUGAAAUCAUGGACAGUGGUAACUGAACCAUUUGAUUUACCACACUCAUUUAUCUUAAUUGUUCACAAUCACACUGUUUGAAACACAAACUGAUUAAUAUGAUUGAUCACUGUACUGAAGUGUUAAUCAUUGAUCUCUGUACUGAUUAAUAUGAUUAAGAAAGCUAAAAUGUGUACUGCUCAUUUACUUUAUUUAAACAGCUCUUUGCCAGCUGUGAUGCAUUACCUGACAACUAGCCUUCAAAACGGCGAGACAAACAUCAAUCAAAUAUACGAGUAGCAUUGUAGCAACUUGCAUGAGUGGCUGCCUCUUUAUGCGUCUCCUGUACCUGCCCUCGAGUUCAUUAUACUUCCAGUAAUCAUUUUUUCCACAGCAAUGUAAAGUUUCUGCAAAAUAAGUGUUCUUCCAGACUAUAUAUGCUUCAUUUUGUUAAUUUAACAUGAAACUAGUUUUUGAAUUUACUAAUACCAUUAAGAGAGGUAAAGCCCUAAAAACCCGCCAAAAAGCUAGCUACUAUAUUCCCUCAUUUCUACUAAGAAACUGAAUGCCUCCUGUUUCUGGAUGGUGUUGACUUAUCUUCUUCUGGAUUGGCAGAGCCAAGACUCUCUGAUGAAUCUGAACCAAUAUUCUCACCUUGGGCUCCUUUGGUUGACCAUAUCUUUGUAAAUAUCCUCUUGGACUUCACCAAACCUUUCAUUUUACUAAUGGCAGCCCUGUCAACACUAUUUCUACUAUCUCCACCAUUUCUCUCACUCCCUCCUACCCCAUUGCCCAACCUUAAGGCAGCCAGUUCCCCUUUCAGGACCUUGAGCUCCUCCGCUGUGGCCACUGCAUCCCAAUCUUCCUCUGGGUCGGUUGCUGCUGAUCUUGAGCUUCCAUGAUAUCCGCCAUUUAGAUCCUUCAGGCCUUUAGGUAAGUCAGGAGUGCUACUGCCUGAUGAAGCAGCAGCCCUGACCUGCUCGAAAAAGAGAACCUGCACAACUACACGUAAUGGGAGCCUCUCAUUUUGCACAGCAUGCACACAUGCAUCAAUUGAUAGUUUCUUGCAGUCCAUUAAUUUGCAUAUUUUUUUUCUCUCACUCUUGCUGAUCCCUGGGUGCUCCUGCAUUGAAACACAGUAGAAUAAAGUUACAUAUAAGCAAAGUCAGAAGUAAGAAGUAACAUAAUUGGUUUGCCUUCAUAACAAUAAUAGUUGCAGAGAGAGACUAGGCCAAAAGGUUUAUUGAAUUAGUAGUUAUGGUCUAGGAGAGGCGGUUGAUGGCAUCACUUCUUAAUUUAAAAUGGAACAUUAGGAAAAGACUUCCAAAGCCAAACUUGGUGGGUAUUUAGAUGCAACAAAGGCUUAACAUAAACUUCAUUUCAAGUCAAGUAUAAUGCAAACACCAAGUUGUGUGCAUUGAAAAAUAUGGACUUUGGCAAGAUUCUCACCUUAAGAUACAUGUCAAUGGCUCGGUAGAGCCCAUCAUGGGCAGGCCGAGAGAUGCAAGACACCAUUUCAGCAAGGUCUACAAACUUUGACAAGGGUAAGUUGGGAUCCUUCGCAAUUUCAGCAAGGUAUGCAUCUAUCAAUUUUGCCACCAUCAGCUUGGAAGCAUCUGUUAAAAUUCCCGGUCUUCGUAUUUCCCGAACCUCAUUUUCUUCUGACUCAAAUUCAGCAUUCUGAUCUUGCAUCAGAAACUCUUUCACUAUUUUCUGUACUGUAUCAACAUCAUAAAUUACAUCUUCCCCUUCUGGUGCCCGUAUCAAAAGAUCAUUUACAGAAGCCUCUUCCAGUUGUUGUCCUAUUCGCCUCACCAGCUGUUCCCUUGAUAUUUCUCCUGUGUCAACAAUGAUGGCUGCUUUCAACAACUUCAGCAAGAAACUGCUAGAUACACUUCCUUUCUCUGCAGGCAACAACCAGACAAUUGUAUCAACUGUUGAUCGAUACUUUACAACAUCAACAGAAUGGAUCACACCCUUACUAAAACCCGGCAACCUUCUGUAAGAAUAAGCUUUCAAAGCUUCCCCAACCACUUCAUGGGACAGUAUUCCUUUGGUUUUAAUAUUCAUUAUAACACGCUUGUAUAGAUCAAUUUCAAGUUCACACAAAUCCUCAACCCACCAAUCCUUUGGCACUGGUCGACUUCUGACACCGUCACAUUUAGGAUCAUUCCCAUUUUCCUCUGGGAGCUUCCUCCGGUUAUAAGUAUAGGACCAAUCGACCUUGGAAACAUCAAUGCAAGCCUUGGUAGCUAUAGCAUCAAUGCAAAGACUGGCCACCUUCAGUUCCUCAGAUAAUGGUAAUAAAGAUGUUGUAGUCUGAAGAACAAUGAUCGAAUCCUUCCAGCUGCGGAAGAUGCUGGAGUUGAGGAAGACAUCAAUCUUGUAAAUUAGGUUCCCUUUUUCAAUGGUCUCGUGCAUUCCUAAGUACUCAGCUGCACAUCGAGCAGCAACAACAUUGUAAGCAUUAAGGGUGACGGUCAUGCCAUAACAAAAUUUGGCACAUAUCUCAAAUGCAACUGGACCGCCAGGAACAUCAGAAAUCUGAACUUCAUCACUAUUUUCUUCAUUACCGCUUGCUACCAACUUUUGCAAGCAGGCACUUUUUGACAGAAGAGGAAACUGCAUAUAUGUUCACCCAUUAGCUCCAUAAAGUGAAAUACCUUUUUAUGAUUGCAAAUGAGCAGAACUGAGCCAAGCUUGCUCAACCUAACUGAUCUUGUCAUUCUAAUUUGAAACUAGAGCACAGCUUAGUUCACGUGUCUUAGAUAAAGUCAACAACCAAAAUUAGGUAGAUUUUACAUUUCAGCAAUUAUAUGAAAUCCUAGACUAACACAAAGGCAUAAGUUUGGAUGGAAUGUAAGGUAUAAUGCAACGCACUCUAGCAAGGACACCAUACUCAAAAACAACGCUUGACCAUAGAUGAAAAUUUUACCUGAAUUGAAAGAAAAUGCAUACCUUGUGCAGAUAAAACUUAACAUCCCCUACAGUGACAGUAAUGUCGGUUGCCAGCUCAUUUGCCACAUACCUGAACAUGGGUACAUAAGCUUAAAACCAUUAGAACUUUUCAAAAUUCACACAGGUUGGACAACGACAAAAUUAGAGAAGUCCCAUUAGAGCUUUUGGUAAGAGUUGAAAAUUUCAAUUUGUACACCGUUUGUCUUUCUUUUUAAGCUAUUAACAGUUGAAAAGAAAAUCCCUUUGAAUUGCUUUAAACAAUAUGCAAAAUUAUGCUUUUUGCCAAAGUAUGGUACUGAAAAGGUACUGUACUUUGAUUUUAUCAUACAAAAUAGCCUAAACCAGAAACCAGACACUCGUGAUGUCUGCAUUGCUAUGAUGUAUAGGCUAUAAAGUGACAGUUACCAGAUUUAAUAACAGAUGAUUUUAAGAAACUGAAAUACUUCUAGAGCUGUAGACCAUGCAACAGAUACUGCUGGAAUAUAGGAAUAAAUUGCUAAUAAAGGGAAACAUAGUUUUAGAGACUAUGAUGCUUUAGCAUCAAGAAACAAGUGCAUUCAUUUUAAUAAACUUAUAGAUGUAUAUUGAAUUUGUCUGCAUUGCAAUUGGUGCUUCUCUCUAAGACACUGUAAGGUAGCAUGCUCCUCAAAUGAAAGGGUAUUUACAGGAAUUGCAUAUUUACAUAAUAGAUGGAAUGGUUAUUUUACACGGUACUAUUACCCUAUGUUAUUAGGAAUGCACAAACAUCAGUCCAUUGCAAAUAACAUGUAUAUUGAUUUGCUUCAGAAAACAAGUUUGCAAUUGCCUAAACAACCAACAUCCAUCAAUUACCACAAUUGCAGUGGUAAAUCUAUAAUUAAAAUUAGUAAAACCUCUUCAAUUUUUAACUCAUUUUAACCGGAAGUGCAUAUGAUUAAGUUAUUCUUCAACCUCAUCCUACGUUCCUAAGUCUAUUAUGGCUUUAGCAAUCCACAGUUGAGCACGUCCCUGUUCCUGGUUAUUGGAAAGAAUAUAAUUAUAAAGCAAAGGAACUGGGAGGAUUUCUCCCAUAAUUAUAAAGAAAAAGAAUAUAAUCAUAAGCAGAAUUACUAAACAACUACGUAUAUUGAAGCUCAUCGAUCUUGAAUUUGAAUUCAUAACUAUUGUGCUAUGCACAACCAAAGUUAAUAUAGCCUGAGUAUGCAGAACUUAUAAUGUAUAUAUGAGGAACCAUAGAAGAAAAAGAAAGAAAGAUCAAAGGUCAAAACCACAUAAGAUUAGUAAUAUUUUAGAGAAUCCACCACCUGGGUUGGAAGAUGUUUGAAUAACAUGGAAGGGGCUGUGCGUUUUCCCUUGAAGCCCCCCAAGCCAAAAAAAAAAAAAGGAAAGCAGCAAAGUAGCAGUGUUACGAGGAAAAUAACAAAUCAAUAGCCUACAAAAGCUGCUAACCACAUCAAACAUUUUUUCACCUUGUUACAGUAUACCAAUAAAUGGUCAUCUAGAAAGGACCAAAAUUUCACAUACCCCCAAAAAGAUUCCUAGUUCAAGCAUAAACCACAGAGGCAAAGCUACCAGUCUAGUAUGAGAAUGCCGUUGAAAUGAACACAAAUAAUUGACAGAGGCAAGAGAUUAUCACUUAAUGGUCUCAUGGAAGAGAAAAUGCAUCGAACAACAUAUAGUGGACAUUUUUUUUAUUAUUCAGUAAGGGAAUAAAUGAUAGAUUGGAAAUAAGAGUCCACGAGAUCUCACCUCAAAUUACUCCCAUCGCUCUGAAACGUAUCCGGCUUUGAUCCAAGCUUCAUAAACUUCAUAUUGGCAAUCUAAAGAUCUUCCUGCACUCUGAAACCUCAAAAUGAUCUUCUCAGCUACUCAACCGAUCACCACUAAAUCAAACACUAGACACUGAGCAACUCACAUACCCAAUGAAACAUAACCCCAACCAAGGAAAAGUUGCCAGAAGUGGUAAGGAAUACCCCAGGUGUGGGGACCGACUUUCUGAACGCAACCAACUUUCUGGGAUUCAAGAGACUAAAGAAGGAUCCAAAGGGUGGGAAGGAUAUAUACUCGAAGAGUAGGACAGAAUCUCGACAGCAAUCGAAGCAGAGGGUGGAGGGGUCUGAGUAAGAGAGAGAACUAGAAAAUUGGCAAGAUGGGGUUUUGAGUAAUAAUUUAAGAAAAGUUUCUCUUGAAUGGCAAGAGAGCCAUGGAAGAAGUUGUUUCCUUUGUUGAUGGCAAAGCCCACCGAGUCCGGGCACACCCAGUCAGCUUAGGAGACAUAGACAACAGACUCUUUGCACUAAAUAAUUCCAAAAACCAGAGACACUCACAGGCACCAAUCUGACUUCACCUCCACUCCCCACUAUUUCUUUAUCUCUCUUUAUCUUUCUGACUACUCUGUUCCGUUGUUUCUCCUUUUUUUUAAUUUUAAAGUUCUUAAAGAUUCAUAUCACCACGACCUCUUGGUCUUAAAGGCUUCAAGUUCCAAACUUGACAUAUGCUAAUCAAUAUAUAGUUUUUUUUUUUAUUUCUUUUUACCGUUUAAGUCUGAAACCUGCAAUGGAAAACAGCAUCUCGGUAUCAGUUGAAAAAACCACCAAAACGGUAGACAACAAGCAUCUAUCUUUAUUUCUUUUUUCAAAGUAUGGGAAUAAAUUAAAAAUAUCACAAAAAUAAUAGUUAUUAUAGUAAUCAACAUCAAACAUCAACUACCAACAACAAUAUCACCACAAAAUUAAAACUGAAAUCUGAGGAAUCAACCAGAAUAAAUCACAGAAACCUAAUUAAAUAACAAAAUGUCAAGACUCAAGAUCAGAUUUUGAUAUAUGCUGUAAAAUCCCAAAACCCCACAUGAAUGGGAAAAUGCCCAUAAUCAACUUGGAAUCCAGAAGAGUAAAAGACAAUCCCCAAAACCCACUCUCCGUGUACACCCCAACAAAACCCAAGACCCUUGUAUCAAAUCUGCAAAGCCCAUACAAACAAAGAAAAAUAGCCACCUUCUCCAUUGUAGCAAAACAACAAAUCCCAUUUUAAGCAUGAACCAGGAGGUACAAGCAAGCCUAGGAAAGCAAAACCAUCUCAAACAAGAAGCAAAUCCAAUAACAUAAAAACUCAGAAAUGUCAAAACAGAACUUACCAAGAAAUUUACACCACCAUUGCAAUUAGUUUGCGUCUCAGCUGAACAGUAAACACGUUUGAACAGUAAUGAUCACACGCAGGAACCAUGCACGAGCAUUUGAGUCAGUUUAAAAAAAACAAAACCCAAGUAACGAAAUUUACACAAAACCCACAAAAACCAACAACUAAAAAAAACAACCUUCAAGUACCCAUCAGUAAAUGACCGGUUUAUUAGUUUUCAGGAGAAUCUAUCAGAGUACAAAUUCAAAGAGAAACUCAAAUUGUCUUUUCAGUUUUGGACAAAAAGCCAAGCUGUUGCCAAAUGUUUUAUCUGUUCUUCGUACUAGCACUACUACAACUAACCCUUCAACACAACCAAAAACUUUAACUUUGUUGCUUCGUAUAUUUCUCUCUAUUAAUAUCGGUGAAGAAAGUAGAUUUAGUUUCAUUCAGUUUAUUGGGAGAGGGGUGUCAUUAACACACUCAACAUCUAGCUCAGCUAUGCACGCCAAAACUGACACUCAGCUAUCUUGUUGCCAACCUGUUUUUAUUAAAUGGCUUCUCUUUACUUGUGUCCUAAUUAGCCUAUCACUAUCUCUUUCUCUCCUUUACUCUGUUUAAGACCGGUUCCUCUGAAAAAAAAAAUUGGAGAAAUUAUAUUAGAAUUUCACGAUUUCAACCCAAAACAAAGGAAAAUGAAAAAGGAAUUAAAGUCUUUUUUCAACAUAAGUUAUAUUGUCCGUUUGAUUGCGGUGAAAUCAUGACCAAACAAUGGGGCUAAGAGAAAAAAAAAUUGGUUCUUUGAAUGUGUGUGAAAAUCAAAGUGCAUGAAAUUCACUAUUGCCAAAAUAGUGUUGUAUGUUGCUGUUGGAAUUUAAGAUUGAAAUUUUAAAAACAUAAAUUUUCAAGAAUUUGUGUAAAAUAGAAGUAAGCUAUCUUUUGCAGGCUGUAGUUAAUCUAAUAGAGUUUAUUCUUGAAAUUAAGAAAAUUUUGUGUCAAAUUUUAAUUGAAAAGGUAUUAAGAAUGAUUCAUUUGUUGGUUCUAGUCUGAUACGAUAAUCAUACCAUUUAUCCUUGAAAAGUGAUACAUAGCAUUUUGUAACUACUAAGUAGUUGUGGUAAAUUUUAAGGAUAGAUUUUCUCUAAAAGAGAGUUUUUAAACGUAUCUUCAUUUUACUUUUUAUUUUUUAAUUUAUUUAUAAGUGAAAUUAUUUUAUUAUUUUUUAAAAAUUUUAAAUUUUAAAAUUUUUAUAAUUUAAAAAUUACAAAAAAGAAAAUUUUCGGAGAGUUAGUUUGCAAAACUUGAAGAAAAAUUAUAUAAAAAAAGAAUUUUAUUAAAAAUUUUUAUUAAUUGAUAUAAAGAAAAAAAUUAUUAUUGGAAAGAAAAUUAUAAAUUUUAAAAUUAAUAAAAAGAAAAAUAACUUUACUAUUUUGACUUUAAAAAAAUAAAAUCUUAUGAGGUCUUAAUUAAAUUAAAGAUAAAAUAAUAAAUGUAAUUUUUUUUUAUAAAUUUAAAUUUAAAUUUUUUAUUAUCAAUUAUUAAAAUUUUAUAAUAGUCAUAACUAAACUAAAUUUUUUAAAGAAAUCUCUCUAUUUACUUGUCAGUUUUCUUUAGUUAACAUAUUAUAUUUUAAGAAAAUUGUAUAGUAUUCAAUAAUAUUAUUUACACAACUUUUAAGAUUUUGUAUAUCAGAUAUUGAUAAGAUUUAAUAGUAGACCUGACGAUUUGUGUAUUUGUAUCGUGUAAAAUAUUAAAUUUUAUAUAUUCAUAAUAUGUUUUAUAUAAGAAUUACAUGUUAUAAUUUGUGUCGAUAUAAAAAUAUAAUUUUUUUUUACUUUUGUUAAACCCAUGUAUAAUUAUUAUUAAAAUUUUAAGUCAUAUUAUAUUCCUAUCAUAUUUUUAUAUCAUGUUCAUAUCAUGUCAUUCUAUAGUAUUUUAAGUUGUUAGGUCUACUUAAUAAUUCCUUCAUCAUCUUUCAUAAUAUCAAGAGGUAAAAUAUUUAAUUAAAAUCCCAUAAAAUUUUAUUCCUUUUCUAAAGUCAAAAUAAUAAAAUCAACUUACUUUUUAUUAAUUUUAAAAUUAAUGAUUCCUUUCUAAUAAUAACUUUUUUCAUUAUAUCAAUUAAUAAAUUUUUUUUUUGUAAUUUUUCUUAAAAAGUUUAAAUACUUUUAAAAAUUUGUAUAACUUUCCAAAAAUAAAUAUUUAGUAACUUAUAUAACGGAUACAUAUUCCAUAAAUUAAAUAAUUUAUCGAAUAAAAAUAUUCAAAAAUUUAUAAAAAAGACAACUAAGUAAUUUCGUUUAAAAAAUUAAAAUAUGAACUUAGGGUGCAUUUAAAAGCUCUCUCCAUCUCUAAAAAUGUGGGGGGAUGAGACUUAAAUUGAAAAGUCUUUUAUGCAACUAUCAACUAAGCAAUGUAUUUGAUUAUUUAUAAGUUUUUUCUUUAUGUUCAUGAACAUGAUUUUUUUUUUUUUUGAAGAUUUACCUUCAUUGAAAUUUAUUGUCAUUUGAAUUAUUGACAUCUUAAUUAUUUUUUUUAGUGGUAACGAGUUUUUACACUUCACUUACUACAUCCUUUACCGUAUCGAUUCAAAUAGAUUUAUUUAACCUAUCACAUGAAAAAAUUAUUGCCACCCUAUUUGCUACGCAGCAUUUGCAAGAAUUAUUAGCAACAGUUGCAGAAUAUUUAAUGCUAGUAUAUAACAGGAUAUUAGGUCAAUUCAAGGUCAUGCUAAAAAGAGCCAUCUCUUUCUUAUCCCUCAUCCAGCUGAAGAAAAGCCAUUAUAACAAAGAGGUUAGAUGAGUGCAACCAAAGGUAAAUGGUUGUCUCAGGACUGUGGGGUCCCAUCAAUUUAAAGAAGCUUGAUAUCAAUGAUAAGAAUGAAUAUUUAUAUCCUUUUUUAUUUUUGCAGUGCCAUUGCAAUCACUAAUUCGCAAUCUUUUUUCCUGUUUCUGGAAAUGUUAAAAGUGUUUGAUAUUUUAAUAUAUAUUCUGAGCAUUCAUAUCAUUUAUGAGCAUUCAGACUGUUUGAUUAUCGGGUAAUUUUCCUUUUCAAAUUUCGAUCUCUUUAUAUAAAAUAAUUUCUUAAAUGAGAACUGCAUUAACAGCUUACAUUUAAGGGAAUCUUGAAUUUAUUUGACAAUUGAUUACCAGUCAAGCUACAGCAAGCCAACCAGCUAGCAUCACCCUCUGCCUCAUAGGAUGUUAAAGCUCUUUCAUUUGCAAGUUAUAACCCCGUGAUGUCCCCAUGAUGCCAAAGAAUCCUUUUCCCAACCAAAAUCAACAAAGACAGGCAGCAUGGAUCAAUAAAAAAAAUUUGGGUUAGAACAUUUCCCUAUGAAAGUGCUAGAUUUCUUUGACAUUUAUGAUCACCUCAUUCACAGUUUCACACCACAUUUCGAGGCUUUUCUUUCUUUCCUUUACUGCUUUAUAAUUAGUAGAUUAAGAGAGUUAUCCAUCAAAAACUCCAACACAUGUUGCUGACUGUAUGUAUACUAUAUAUAAAUCCUACUGCUACAUAUCUCACAUAAAAAAUUGGGUUUGGGAUUUUUUUAAGAAACACUUGAUUCCUUGUCUAUUUUUUUAACCAAAUCUUCAAACUCAGAGAAGGUUUUUUAGGCAGAAUUUUUACCAAAAGUCAUUGUGUGGUUGGGGGAUUUCGACGAGAAAAUUUGUCAACGGAUUAUGAUGAUCAUCACCCCGAGGUAGUGUUCAUAUGAAGGGGUCCUACAUGCCUAAUUUUGAGCACAAAGUUUCUCUAAAGGAAUAAAAACUCCAGCUUAUGGUCGUAUGCUAGUUGUGGAAAAAGAGGUUCCCAGUCUCUCUAACUUUGAGUCUUUGACCCACCACAUGCUUUUUGCAAGUUUCUUGGAUUGCUUGCCCGUUUGUGCCAAACCCCAGCUUUACUUCUUGAUUGAUCGUUAUCUCUUGAUCAGUUUGUAUGGAUACCCGUGAUUCCGAAUUGUAUCAUCAUCAUCUUCGUAUACUCAUUUAGCUAUCUCAAUCAAUUAUUUUUAUCAAACUUUGUACAUAAAUGAUAAAUCCCAAUACUUUCUCAUCUCACCAAGAUGAUGAAUCAAAUCGAUUGUCGGUCAAAAUCAUAUAUAUUUGACUAAAAAAUUAGUUGGCUGGGAUCUUAUGGGAGACAAAGUGAAAUAGCUAAGACGUUGUGAUCAAAAGACACUGCUGGUACAACUCAUUUAUAUACUGCGUAAGAGAUAAAACAAAUGGGAAAAUGGUUACUCGGUGGACUAAGAGAAUGCACAUGGGCACCAAAUCCAUAGUAGCUUAAAAGUUCCACUUUAAGUAGGGCAAUUUGCUUGAUUUUCCAUACCAAGACCGAUACCCUUUAAUCAUGCCAGCCAUGCAUGACCGGUACUCUCUAUGUUUUGCCAUGCAUCAUACCGCAAGUCACAUGGAUCCUGGACUAUAAAAUUGAUAAUCGGCUUCUUCCUUUAAAAAAAUGUUUGGUUAUUGAGUACGAUGCCCGAACAAGUAUAAAAAAUCAAUUUAUUACUGUUUCCAUCUCAUUUUCGUUCUUUCCUGUCUCACAUUUGUAAAAUUGCUUUGCUUGUAUGUUACACUUUGAAAACUUAGCCCUUUUUUCUUUUAUUAUUCUUUUGCUUGCUUCUCCGUCUAUGUAUCAACUUCCCUAAUGGGAGAGAAAGUGAAACAUGAGCUAUAGCUCACAAGGCAAGCAUACAUGUAAAAAAGAAAACGCAUGUAUCAGUUUGGUUUUAAGCCACCCCUUCUCUGUGCAGAAAAUGAUAUUCAUAGGCUAGAGUCUGGACCACCAUCGAUUGGAAGGUGCCCAUGUUUUCCGUUUCUUUUCGCCACUAAGAUAUACCCCAUUAGAUCGAAAAAGCCAAAGUAUUCGGCAAACCCAUGGCAGGCAUUAGAAAAUCCCGAUCAAGCCAUAUUUAAUUAAGAAAGUUACUACUAUUUCUUACUAUAAUAUGAUUGGUUUUAUAAAAAUGCUCAAGACAAUUUCAGGAUAAACAUAUAUAUAUAUAUAUAUAUAUAAAUCUUCAUGGAAACUGAUUGAGGUGAAUUAUAAUUCAACCCUACCUGUAUAUGUCCAAUCCAAGAUUCCAACUUCAUAUAUUCAUAAUGAUUUCCUAGAAAAACAAUAAUCAACAUGUAGAAAUGUUGAGUUUUUUAAUUUAGAGCUCCAAAUAUUUGUGGGUACAAACAUCACUGUUUUUAGGAUGAAAGCUCAAAGCUCUUCAACAUAUCUUUUAGAAGUUUACCGGUUACUUUCCAAGUAAUUAUUCAAGUGGGUACAAUACUGAUAAAAAAGAAAGAAAAAAGAAAUUCAUGUCAGGAUUAGAGAGUGAUAAGAUUGAUACCAAAAAAAUAAGAACAGAUUCAGGAAGAACUCAAUAGAAAUAAACAAAAACUGCUGUGUAUAGUAGUGGGAAUAUAUAGUUUGGAAGAAUAUUCUGGAAAUGGAAGGUCCCACUCCCAUGGAGCCCAGCUAUGUGUUGGUACUUGCAUGCAAAUAAAGCUGGAUCGGCCAAGGGAAUGGCAUAUGCCUUUUUGCUUUUGACAAAAGUGCUACACUCUGAAAAGGAAAUGAUGAUUAGGGCUUCUAACCCUCUAAACCAAAACCAUGCAGAAAACCAAUAAACCUAACACUUUGUUUAGCCCAAUUAUAGCUUUGUUGGUACUUCUUCAUGUCUUUGGAAGUGUGUGGCCCAACUGCUUUAAGGAGUUCAGUCUCCUUUUUCUUUCACUUUUUUUUUUAUCUAGUGCUUUACACAGUAAGGCAAUGAUUAGACAUUCUUCCUACCCCAAGCUAUUAACCAUGCAAUUCCAUUAUUGAAUCUCUCUAAUUUAUUUUUCUUCUUUUCUAGUAUCAGGAAAUUACUUAUAUUGUUAUAUGAUCUGUUAAUAAGAUAUUAAAUUUCUAAUUUCUUAAGUUAAGAUUCAAACUGUAACACUUGAAAAAAUGAAUUGAUUUGUGAUUGUGAAAUGCUUUUUCUUUCUUUUUUUUUUCUAUUUUUAUAUCCACUACUAUAAUAAUUGGUGUCAAUGUCUAUUGAUGUUAAUGGAAAAAGAGAAGGUGGAAAACAAAGGCAUGAUGAUGAGAGGACAUUCCAAGAGGGUCAUAAAUACAUAUCAUUCAAAGCAGAGGUUCUCUCAAGGGACCCAAGUUUCAGACAUUGGAGCUGCACAUAUUUUUCUUCCUCAAGUUUCACAAUCUUUUCUUGCUUUGCUUUAAUCGGUGAGAUAUUACAUGGUAUUGGUAUAGCAUUGUUCAUUAGUACUUCCACUUUUAACUUAAGGCGUCCAACUAGCCAUCUCUACUACUUCUCGUAGGCUAGGCUUGGCAGACAAAUCCCUUUGAAUCUCAUUUCUGAUCAUGCUUUUACUAAUUUCAGUAAAAAAAAAAAGAAAUUUCCUUUGAUAUUUGUUGAUGAUGAACUAUAUCUUAUCAAUAUAUGUUUAAAAUUAAAAUAUUAAAAAAUAGAGAAGAUUCCUACCCACACCCUCAUCAAUUGUUUUCUUAUAUAGUAUUAAAAAUCAAAGAAAUUCAAUAAUUUUCUAUUAAAUUUUUAUAUACAAAAUUUGUAACCAUAGUAUAAAUAAAAUUUACUUCAAUUGUUAUGACAUGAGACAUGAUUAGACUUAUUAAUUAUGAUAUGAACUUAAAAAAUUCAUCCAAUUUAUCUGAACUCAAGUUUGACUUAAUUUAAUUUGAUUAUAAAAAAUAACAACUUGUAUCCGUUCAAUCCAAAUCAAAUCAAUCUAAAUCCGAAAAAUUAUUUAAACUUAAAAUAACUUGAAAACGAAAUGAUCCAAAAUGAAAUGACUUAAAAAUUAACUCGAAAUAACCCAAUAUUAAAUUAAAUAUAAAUUUAUUUUAAAAUAUUAAUUUAAUAUAUAUAAUAAAUAUAACAUAAAUAAAAAUAAUAAAUAUAACACAAAUGAUAACUUAUUAAAAUUAUUGAAAAUAUCAAAUUAAUAUUUUUUUUAAUAUCAAACAAGUAUAAUUUAUAUAUAUGUUAUGUUACUUAUAAAAUUUUUUAUAAUUUAUAAUAUGAUUUAAAAUAAAUUAUAUUUUUUAAAUUAUAAGCAUCCAUAUCAAUGUAUCAUUUUGGAAUUUGUAUAAUCUCGUAUAAUUAUAUAUGAAUAUCAACUAUCAUGUAAUAUAAUAUAAGCUAUUGAUUUGUGUAUAUACAUUAUGUUUAUGUUAUAAUUAUAUUAUUAAUUUUUAAUCAUAUAGUUUAAAAUAAAAUUAUAUAAUGAGUUACUACAAUUAUAUUAAAAUCUAAAAUAAUCAGGUACAAUUAUACUAAAAAUAUUAUUUAUAUUACAAUUAUAUUAUUAAAAUAAAAAAUAAUUGCAUAUUAAAUUUGUAUCAUAAAUAAAUAUUUAGAAUAUUUUUUAUAUGAUUAUAUUAAAUAUGUAAUUGUGUAAUAUAAUUAAAAGUUUAAAAUAAUCUUUUAUAUAUUUAUAUUAAAUUAAAUUAAAUAUAAAAAAAUAUUAAACAUGUCAAAUGUGAUACAUAUGUUUAUUAUGUCUUAUACAUGUUAAAAUUUAUGUUGACUUGGUUAAACACAUAACACAUUUUUCUAAAAUCCAUAAUGUUUUUCCGUAUCAUUUCAAUAUCAAAGCAUUAUUUAUUGUUUAAAUUUAUCAUCUAAUAAAAUUAAUUUUUUCAUUUAUAUAAAAAUUAAUUUUAAUUUAAAAUAUACAAAUUAUAUUUUAUUUAUUUUUGAAAAUAUUUUUAAAUUUUUAUCUUUUAAUAAAAUUAUAAUUAAAUUUUAUUCGAACUCAAUCAAAUAAUAUAUUUAAAUUUAAUCUAAUUUGGUUUUAAAAAUUAAUAAAUUAAAUCCGAAUGACCCAAACUCAAAUAAUUUUGGUGUUAAACCUGAAAUACCCAAACCAAAAUGAUCCGAAACAGAAAUAAUCAAAACUCAAAAUGAUUCAAAACCAAAACAAUCCUAAACUGAAAUGAUCAAAUCUAAAAUUGACCCCAUUUUUUUAAAGCCCGAAAUAAACCAAACUAAAUUGGUCAAAUCCAAAGCCAGCCCAACUCGCUCAAUUGACAAAUCUACAUGAUCAUUUCAAAACUUGAAGAAUGAUUAAGGAAAAACUAUAUGAAAUAGUUAUUCUAAGUUAGUAUAUGUCACUUUCAUUCAAAUCAUAUUACCAAAUAAAGUCAACUAUUUAUUAUAUCACAUAUAAUAAUUAAAUAGUGAAUAUUUAUUUUAAUAAACUCAUGCAUAUGAUGUGUAAUAACUAAUUGAUUUUUUUCAUAAAGAUAAUUAUAUAGCAUAAUUUGAAUAAAAGAAACAGAUUUGAAAUAAUUAUUUUAUACAAUCCUUUCUUAGGAUGAAGGGGGUGUUUGGUUGUUGGAUAAUAUGAGAAACGUCAACCUAAGGAUCAGGCUUUAGGCUUAGGCCUUUGGGUCUCCAAACCUUGGAUGAUCUGAUUCCGUAUGUCCAUUGUGGUCAUUUGUAUUGUCAAUGACCAAACGGGCCACAAUAACCUGUCCAGCCCACCCUAGUUGAAAUUUUCUAGUUGAUCAAAAACACCGAGACCCAUAGGGAAAUGAGAUGCACAUUUUUUUUGUACUUAAAAUUAUUAAAAAUUAAAAUUUGAUUACUGAUAUUAAAUUUUUAAUAUUUUAUUAAUAAAUGAUGACAUGCACAUUGUAAUUUCUACAUAUUAAUUCUCGUUUGAUUAUUAUCUAGUUACUUUAAAUUAAUACAUAUAUAUAUAAUCAAUGAAAACCAGAAAUACUUUUAUUUUCUAAAAAAAAUUAGAUACAAAAAUAAAUUGUACAAAUGUUUUUGUAAUUACAAACUAAAAACUAAUAUUUCUUAAAUAAAAAAUAUGUCAUUUUAUUUUUAUAUUAAUUAUAUUUUAUCAAUGUGUUCAAAUUUAAUGAAAUAUAAUUUUUAUUUCUUUAGUUUAAUUUAACAAAAAGUAAGCAAAUAACACUAUUAUUACUCCUUAAAUAAAGCUCAUUAAGGAGGUAAGUACAUAAGUGCCUGAAUUGUUGGGAUCAAGUACAUACUGUACGUAUUCCACUAUUAUUAACAAAAGCUGACCUGAUAGUGUUGCCGUCGAUGCCACUUGCAAAUAAAUUAGGCCAAUUAGCACAGCAGCUUCAGAUCCAAACAACGACAAGCAUCCCAAAGACUUGGUUGAUUCAGGUUAAUUGCUUCUCCAGUAUUAUUAUUCCCUUAAAAAAUGCUAAGUACUAAUUUUCUUUCGUAGCUAGCCUGCCAAACUGGAACGCCGUCCUUAACAGUCUCGCUUUUGUAUAUAUACAAAAUAUAGAAAGAGUGUCUUCGGCUGCUUCAUACAGUGAUUCAGAUAAUUUUAAAAAAAUAUCAAAGUUGAGAUUCGAUUUUUUUUUUUUCCUUUAACGUAGGAUUCUGUUUGAAUGACCAAAAAAAAUAUAUAUAUAUAUAUAUAUAUAGAGAGAGAGAGAGAGAGAGAGAGAGAGAGACCAUGAAAUGAAAACAUUAAUUUAAAAACUGAAGAUGAGGGGGGAUGGUCGAAUAACCAGCCAACCCACUUUAUGUAAUUUGGGCAGGGGAUUAAUGACUUAUAUUUUUCUGCUUCUAUUUUAUGGGGCUGCUAAUUCAUUUAAUAAUUUAUUUUGACAAUAAGCGUAAAUUAGAUGGUGAAAGAUAUCUUGGCCAAAAUGACGAGAGUAUCGAUAGAUCCAUGCAUCCGCCGAAUUUAGAAUUUUUUAGGUGUUUAUUUAUAAUAUAUAUAUAUAUAUAGUAUUUAUUAAUUUUAUCAAUAAAAAAUAUUUUUUAAAAAAUAAGAGUUCAUGGGUAUUUUAAAUCCAUCCUUUUUUUGUUUGAAUGAUUAUGUUUUUUCUCCUUUUUGGCAAUUUUUUUAAUAAUUCGAUUAUAAUUGUUUUUUUUUAGCUUACCUGUUUGCUUGAUCAAAAAUUUUCAGGAAAUUGGGUGAAAUUUAAGGUUUGUAUAUAUUUUUUUAAAGUUAAAUUAACUUGACUAUAGAUUAAAUAAAUUCAGCUGCAAAAGAAAUGUGAUUUAUGAGUCAACCUGCUUGAUUGCAAAGUAACACCCAAAUUUUGUAGUGCAAUUUUGUUUUAACUUUCUAAUAAAUGCCUGAUUUAUUGAUUUGGUGAUAUAACAUGGGUUCUGAGACUCCAGCUCUAUUGGUUGAGAAGACAAACGCAGUAGUGGAGACAUCUGUUGGCAGGUCAAUCAUUGAACAUCUUAGGAGCUUUAAUGACAUCUCUUCUAUAAUUGUUGGUUUGUAUUUGAAUUCAUUUUAUGGCUUGCAACCAUAUGUUUCAAUGUUGUGAGUGCCCUAACUCAUUAGGAUCACAUGAUUUGUUAAAUACAAAAUUGAAUAAAUUUAAAUUAUUUUAAAUGAAAAGAUUAUUUUUGAAUUCUGAUUUUAUGUCGAAGAUUUUGAAUGUAUUUAUUUAAUUUAGAAAUUUUUCUAAUUUUUUUAAAUAAAAAAUUUUUAAACUAAUUUUAUUUUUUUAAAACAAAAAAAUUAUAAUUAAAUUUUAUACAAAAAAACAAUUUUUAUUCAGAAUUAUAAAUAACACGAUUAAUUGAUACCAAAUUUUUAGGCGUUGAAGGGUGUUCAUCUUUCUUCGUACGUAAACCCAAUAUGUUUUUGUACAUCAAAAUGCCGUUGGUGACAGAAUAGCUCGCCUGGUAAUGUUUUCUGCCUAAAUUCAUGGAUAUUUUAGUCAUGGACUGAUUCUGAUCGUUAAAAUCUUAUUUUGAAUUUUGUGGGAUUCUAGAGAUGAUAGAAAAUAUGUGGACAAAAUCUCCUCGCCAAUUGAUGUUUAAAGAGAACUGAAAGAAAAGAAGAUGACAGUGAAAAAAGGUAAGAAAAAAAAACUUUUGCUCUGAUUUGUUAUAUUUGGAAAAUUGUUUUGAUUUUUCAUAUUUAGGUUCUGAGUAAGUAGAGAAAUCAUAGAUUAAUGUAUGCUAAACUGCUCUUUCAUUGAACACUUCUAUUUUGCUUUAACCAUGAAGUAAUAUCUUGUUCAUUACUAAACAUGUGCAGGCAAUGAGAACAACUACUGGCUUUUGUGUUGAAGGUUGGCUUGCUAUUUACUUCGCUAAGGUUUUAAUAGUUCUCCACCUCUAAAUUUAUUGUUGCUUAAACUGCAAAUUAACAAGAAUCUAUUAUGCGAAAAUAUGACUUAAUAAUCUUUUUCAGUCUUAAUUGAAAACAAAAGGGAGCUUUGGCUUUGGCUUUGGACAUCGGAAGACUGGCCACAGGAUAUGGAAUGGGAGUCUUCUCAUAUGUGGCGGGUUUCUAUAUCUCCUCUAGGAUUUCACUCCUAAACCUUCUCCAGUAAUUGGUACACUACUUGUUCUUAACGAUCAUGAUGCCUUUUGUUGAAUGUAUGACUAGGUACUAGUAUUUAUUGCUGAAAUCGCACCAAAGAAACUAUAAACCAGGUAACAUGUGCCUGUCAAGUAGCAGCAGUCAUUAUCAUCAGCACAAUUUCCUGAAGUUGUGAAUUUAAUUUUCUGAACAGUCAUUAGUUGUCUGAAUGUGCAAUAUAAACACAUAAAAAAGAUAGAAAACAAUGAAACAUGCAUAUGGUUUUAUCUAAUUAUUUGUCAUCUUAUUCUACAGCUUAUGAUCUGCAAUGGACUAUCGGUUGCCUUCAUAAUAGGGCAGUUCUAACUUGGAGGGCUUUAGCAUUAACAGGUAAAAGUGUCUUAUCCAUUUAUUCAAAGCACAGGGAUUCACUACAUUCUUCUGCAAAACCAUGUGAACGUGUGUGUGAGUGUGUUUCCAAAGUUCGAUAAGACAAGCUGGGACUCAUAAGUGGAGUGAUUGCAAGACUUAUUCCUUGUGCAAUUCUAGUCUUUGGACUCUUUUUCUUUCCUGAGUCUUUCGGAUGGCUGGUGUGAAAUAGCAGUGAAAAGAUGAUGGAAUUUUUUUUUACACUGAACUAUAGUAACAUUAAAUGAGAAUUGGAUAAAAAUCUUAGAUAUAAUGCAGGCAAAGAUAGGACGUGAAAAAUAAUUUAAAGCAAAGGUGACUUGGCUACUUAGGAAGUAGUAGGUAUGGUCACCAAAAUCAAGAUGGUGACUUGGCUUUGUUGCAUGAAAGCAAGCUUGAUUUUGGGGAUCCAUUUAGGAAGCAUCAAAUGAUAUGUAGGUAAGUGUAUCACUAACUACUUAUUCAUAAGGUUGAUGGAAUUACUUCAAUUGUUUUUGCAGGCACUUACCAUUUGGCAUUUUGAGCAGAUAUCAUCAGAAGGCACCUACAUCAUGGACAGCGCUGGCUACCGCAUUCUUAUUCUUUGUGAUUUGCUUAUUAGUUGGCUAUAUCUUAUAUGGUGCAGCCAUGCACAUUGUUAAAGUUGAAGAUGAUUUCCAUGAAAUGCAAGCACUGAAGGUUCGAGCAGAAGCUGUUGAUGUUGCCAAAUCGCAGGUAUGAUUUUCAAGAUAUAUAUAUCAACACAUGGUUCACCAUCCAUUUCCAAGCUAAAACUAAUUAUGACUUGGGAGUAUUGCUUGUGUUCUUGAUACCAGUUUCUGGUAACAGUUUCUUAUGAAAUUAGGACUCCCAUGAAUGGCAUCCUUAGUAUGUUCCAGAUCUCUCCUUAAGGUUUUCUCUGUAAAAUAUACCUGCGAUGACAUCAACAGAUUUUAAUCCGGUAAUAUUCUGAUGACUUUUUGAAUGGUUGCAGGGAUGAUUGCUUUGCUUUUAGAUAUAAAUUUAAGUUCAACAUAAAAGGAUUAUGCUCAGGAUGCUCAAGAUUGUGGAAAAAUGCUGAUAACAUUGAUGAAUGAGGUGCUUGACCGAGCAAAAAUUGAAGCAGGAAAGUUAGAGCUCGAGUCUGCCCCCUUUGACCUUCGAUCUAUCCUAGAUGAUGUGCUCUCUUUACUUUCUGAAAAAUCUAGAAGUAAAGGUGUUAAGGUAAGCCCAGAUAAGAUUAAUAAAGCCUACUACUUCAUUUUUCAGUGUGUUUCUCUAUGUUAGAUAGUUCCCAUAGGUUAUAGGCUUGUAGGGAUGCCUAUGAUCAAAAUAGAAAAAUCCGUAUGGCUUAUAAUGCUUGAACUAACUUGGUGCCUUUGUUUUUCCCUUUCCUUUCUCUAUUUCGGUGGGUUGUUGAUGUCAAUAAAUGGUGGUGUUCCUGAUGCAUUACAAUGAUUGAAAUAUGGCGUAAUUCUUUGGGAAGUGAAGCUGGUAGUCUUUGUUUCUGAUAAAGUUCCUGAAAUAAUUGUGGGAGAUCCAGGGAGAUCCAGACAGAUCAUCACUAAUCUUGUUGGGAACUCUGUUAAAGUAAGAGGGUUGCCCAACCUUCACUCUUUUCGGCACUAAUUUAGAUGGAAUUAGGGGUGUAAUUAAGAGAGUCUCAUUUUGAAACUCUAGCUAAAACACAAGUUCAAAUUUAGUUUAUUAUUAAAUUGUCUUUGGUUUGGGCUGCAUUUUUAGAAAUUCAAACUUUAGUUUUGCAUCUUGAUUACCGUGUUACAGUUUGUAGAUUCAAUUUGUGAUCUCGUUUAUUUAUUGCAAUACUGCUAUGUGGUUUUUAGUUUGGAUCUUUCAUUUGAAUUAGCAUGCUUAUGUUGGUUACCUAUACAUACGAAGCAUUAGUUAUUGAGGUGAACUAUUGAUUAUUUGUGUGAAGUACUGUAUUUCUCAUUACAUAAUUUAUAUUCUGCUUAGUUCGUUGGACAAUUAAUUUUUUUUUCUUAUAUAAUCAAUAUACUUAUGCUCUUAAAUUACUCUCGAGAUGAACCGCGAGCUUAAAAUCUAAUUAUGGUGUAUAUAUGUUAUUAUUUUGUAGAAGAAAAAAAAAACUUGAAUUUGAUUAUCUGAGUAAGAAAAAUCAUACACGUUUUAUUAAAUCAAAUACUAAGAUGUAUUUGUAAUUGAUAAGAAAUAUUAAUAUUAAGUAACAGUAAUAAUAAUCUAAUAGCCCUGAAUUUGUAAAAAAGUUUAAUUUCCUAGAACCAGGGUAUCCUAGUAUCACUCAAGACCACGAGUUAAUUGCAUACAAUAAAUAAGAAUAUAUUCAUAUAUAAUCUAGAUUUAUAUCAAUUUUGAUAUUAAUUAAUUGUCUAUUACAAUAUUUAAAAAUUGAGGCCAAUAAGACUUUAACUUAAUAACAAUGAAAAAAAUCUUAGAAUCUUGAGAUUUUAAGUUUAAAUCUUAUUAUAUGUGAGUUUGAUUAUUUAAUUAUGUUUUAAUUUAUUAGUUAAUUAUUCAAUGAUCAUAACUUGAUUAUGAUGAAAUUCUUAAUUAUAAUUGUAAUUUUAAAAAAUUUUGUUAUAGCUGUCAAGCCAUCCAAGAUCUCUUUUGCUAAAUUAUUAUCCAUCGGAAGAAAAGCCCUUUAUAGGCCAAUUUGCAAUAACAUUUAUAACUGUCCAAAACAAAAAGGGUAGCUGUAGGAAUCUUAAUUGAUAAAUUAAGAUGAGAGCAUGAGGCAAAAGGAGUGAAUGGAGAGAAAAUUCCACUUCCUGACUGAAUUAAGGAUCAACGUUAAUAAAUUUUUAAUGUAUAUGAGAAAGGUAUAAGAUUUGAGUUUUGACAUUUAGUUCUAUAAAAUUGGAGAUAAACCGUACAAAGAGGAGAAUCAAGAGAAAUUAAAAAUGAAUAAUAAAAAUAGUGAAAAGGAAAUGAUAGUAAUCUUUGAAUUUAAUCAUUUACAACAAAAUAAGUCGUAAUCUUUAAAUAAAAAAAUUAUAAUUAUUAAAAUUUUUUACUUCAAAUUUAUUAAAUAUUGCUUAUUAAAAAUAAUUAUAUAAAUUAACUGAUCUUGUUUUCCACUCAUUUCUAUGCCUUUUUGAAAUUCAUUUUCAGGAUUUUCAAGGACUCUUCAAAUCUUUCAUUGUUCUUAAAAUUAAACAUCGAUGGCUACUUCCUUAUACCAAGAAAAAUGACUAUAAUUUCAUAUUGCCACAUGUAUUUUAAUUGAUAACACAUCAUAAACAAGCAUCUACACAUAACAUAAAUACUUAAUUUCCUCCCACACGGAAAAAACACUAAAACUAAUUUUGCUUGUUAUUUUUCUUCUUUUGCUUUUAGCAUCCUUCAAAUUCAUCAAAGUGUUAAACUCUCAUAGGAAGCCACAUUGUUUCUCCACAUGUCAAUCCGGAAAAAUUUUAAUGUUCUUGCUUUUUCAAAUUGUCUAACUCUAACAAAUACACAAAGCACUCCCUCAAGUUGAUCUUUUCUCGUUCUUAUCUGCAAUAACUUAUAUAAAAAGUUACUCCAUGGUUUACUUGCUAGAUUACUCCAGAAGGGACGAUAUAUUCUAUUUCUAGCAUCCCUUGGUUUAUAAGUUGAAGAAUAUUCCAUUGGAAAGAAAAUAAUUAUGGGAUUGGUCUGGAUGAAAACUGGCUUCUGAUAACACGCCAAGCUUGGCAUCUGACCGAAGUAUGUAGAAGUAGAAGACUUUUUCAAGUUACUGUAUAGGAUUGCCAAGGCGUUUAUACAGCUGGAAAGCCUUGUUAAUUGUUUGUUAUUUGCGUAGAUAAGUAGGACAGACAAACACCAAGUAACGUAUCUUGAAUGUUUCAGUGUUGGCAUGUAGGAAAAUUUCUUUUCCAGACACGAACCUUUGACGGCCGCAUUUGGUGGUGGGAAAGAAAAUGAGAGGAAAAGUAACAAGAAAAAGGCUAGGUGGAUUAAAGACAAUGACCAUUUUGAGGAAAAAAAAAUGAUCAAUUCUCGCCGUAACUCUAUGAAGCCAAAUUGAUGAGGUUUGUACUUUUGAGAUACCAAAGUGGCCUCCAACUCCAACUCCAAUGUGAUUAAUCUUUUCUUUUCCAUUUUUUUUUUCAAAUGUAAUUGUGAUAUGUAAACGACCCAUAGUUUUCCUAUAAAUUCGGUGUGUAAGUAAUUUCUUGAACUUGUCAUUUGAUCUUCGAGAGAUCCAUAUAUCUGAUUAAUCUCUAAAUUAACAAAUUAUAAAACAUAUUUGGCACUAACAGAAUUGACUUUAACAGUGGGGGGAAGGGGGGUUUUGGAAUUAAUUUCAUAGUAGCUAUGUUGGUAGGGUAUCUAACAUGUGACAAAGGGUUGCAGAAAAAAUACGGGUAUUAUCAUAUCACCAUGAUUAUGAGCCAUCGAUCAUGCCGACAUGUGCAUUAAAAGCAUUAAACCACAUGGGAUCGAUGAUAGUUAGCGAUUUGAAGUUUCAACUAUGAACCAUCUCCCCUAACAUGGGUUGGUUUUCUUGAUUCUGAACACCACCAUGGUAACUGCCUACCUCUUGGCUCUUGCCUGCUGUUUCUUCGCUGUUCACACGGCAAAACCUUUCCCCAGUUAUUAGCUCACUCCGUUAUGGUAUAUAAAAAUAUAAAAAAAUACCUCAUACGUUUAUUUUAUAUACUCUCUUUUAUUGACUAUAAUAUUCAGCAGCAACAAAAUUCAUUCACAUCCAAAACAUAAAUGUCAGUUAUAGUAUUAGAAAUAUUUUUCUUAAAAUAAUGAAUCAAUGAAUUGCCAGAAACUGACUACAAUAGGGAGAGUUCACAAACAAUGAACAAAUUCACUGUACAGAACAAUUUAUCAAAUACAAAUCCCAGAAUCAAUGAAAAAUAAAAUCAUUUUUCUUUGUCAAUUCAAUUAAUUCUACAAAUCCUGAAAUUAAUCUUGUGCUAAAGAAGAAUCCAGCUUCUCUUCCUUAGCAAUCAAGAAACGAGGUUUCUUGGUUGGCAAUGGACUUUCAGCCUCUUGUUCUGCAUAGAUUUGACUAAAUCUUCCAUCUUUAUUUUCCCCACGGAACUCCGGCAACGCGGGCAAGUUCAGGUCAAAGUCAAGGUCGACACGGUGGCUUUGGCUCAAAGCGCCGCCGUCUGACAACGUUACCCCACUAACGCUACCGCUACCACUCUUGUUACUGUUGUUAUUAUUGUUGUUGCCACCUUCGUAGUGGCAGCGUUUGUGGCCUCCCAAGGCUUGGCCUGUAGGGAAAGUCUUGUGGCAGAUGGAACACUCAUGGGCCCUACCACUACCGUUGGUGGCGCUGGUGUUGGUGCUGGUGGUAGAUGGAUUUUCAGCAUUGGUGGAAGCUGUGUCGGUGGAGGGUUUGCGAUGGCUGGCUUUAUGCCCACCCAGAGCUUGAUAAGAAGGGAAAGCCUUGUUGCAAACACUGCACUUGUAUGACAACUUCAAAGCUGGCGGAUCAGCUGCUGGUACCGAUGACGAGGAAGACUGACGAUGACCAUCACCACCGUUGGAGGCGGAGACGUUUUUGUUUUCCUUGGUGGAGCCACGAGCUAGCAUGAUGAGACAGAGAGCAAGGUACUCUUCUUCAGACGGUGCAGGAGACUCGCUCCGUGAUCGCUUUGAACGUUUGCCCUUCUUCCACGUCUCGUGGUAAUUGUUGUCGAUGUCAUCAUAUUUGUUGCUGAAAGGUGCAGCCGUGGUAGGAGAAUUCAGAGCUUCAAGAGCCAUAUUCUUCAAAUUCCUUCAAAUCCAAUCAAGUUUUAGAAAAAGAUUGAUAGAAAGAAAAGA
This 50151-nucleotide long non-coding RNA is filed under the name Durio zibethinus. RNAcentral's name for it is "long non-coding RNA (DZIB_LNC000726)". The record is from RNAcentral. Lineage: Eukaryota; Viridiplantae; Streptophyta; Magnoliopsida; Malvales; Malvaceae.